ACCGUUUUGCGAUUGGGGAAAAGCUAGCCCACUGUCCCUCGCUGGAAAAUUAUAUUGAGGUUGAAGUAAUUUUACGUUUCAAGCAUUGACUCGAACACAACCCCACCUUCCUGUCCUUUUCUAAACUGCUGCAAACAAUUUUUGUUUUUUUAAAGAAGAAGAGUGGCGAACCGUAUCGGCAGUAUCGGUGGCGCACGGCGGUGCCAUGGGUAGGUGGGGCAGCUGCCUAGGUCUUGGGCGGCGCCGUGGUUGGUGAUGGCGUUGAAGUUUCAGCCCGUGCUGCUCGGUGGCAGUGGUGGCCUCGGCUGUGUGGUGAACUCUCUAGGUUCCUCGAGGCAGUGUUGCGGGGCUGCACCGCUCUACGCCGGCAAUAGCGGUCUACGACGGCGUCACGGUGAGCUCUCGACAUUCUGAUGCAUUGCCAAGAUUUAUGCCCCUGUAUUUCUCCUCCCUUUUCUCCCAAUCCAGAAUUCUACUUUCCCUAUGGAACUUAGGCGUAUUGACUUGCCAGAUGUGGCGGCUGCUAUGGUGCUAGGUUUUGGCCUUUCUCAGAUUCGGCGCAGGUUGUUGCAUCCAUACAUGAAGUUUUACUCGUUUCAAUUUGGCUGCACAAAUUUUAGUACGGGCCUUCACCGGAUUUGAUGUUGGGGACAAAUCAAGAGCUUCUGUUUAGAUCUAGCCUACAGAUGCUCCCAGUCCUCCUACUAAGCUCCUAUUUUCAAUAAAUAGUUUACAUUCGGCGGUUUGUGUCUGAUGAAUCCUUCGUUUUGAGUCCCCAUAUGUUGCAUGUUCUAAUAAAUAGCCAUGUUUCUUCUUUAUUAUGAAUAAACUCCAUCUUUUUUCCUUGGAGCUCCACUAUUUUGGAUGAAUUGGACUGUCCCCUGCUACUGAAAAGUACCAUGUCUGGCCAUUUAAACUUAGAAUCGAAUCGGGGUGCUGCUACUGUAUUAGGUUGACCAUCCAGUCAUUGUGAAUCUGCUCUGUUGCACAAGAAGGCAUAGUAAGAAACCGGGAAGGGUGGCACCCCAAUAAGAAGCACAAAUCAUUUAAGCCCAAGUAACCGUGAUCUCAAUGCACAAUAUCAUUGCCUUGCUGAUAGUGAGUAUAAUGUUUUGUCACUUCAGUUAGUCGAAACACUGCUAUUGGGGCUGAUCAUACCUUGAAUUGAUCAAAAUUUGAACCUUUCGGUUACCUCAUAUUGCUAAAGGACACAAAUGUGACUUUUAUUAAACUUUAAUCGUCGUCAUAAAAUUAUGGAUUUUCACUUUGACCGGAAGUUGUUGAGGAUAUCUGUGGAAGGCUUCAGAACUUUUCUCUAGGUGCAGUUCAGAACACUAGUGAGACAUGGUAGCAACUACAAAAAAUUUAGGAUGCAAGAUCACGUUUUCUAUUUCCAAUUCAUGGUGCAUUUGUAGCUCUUUGUCAACUCUAUGAAAGCACUGCAUACACCUGCAGUACACUGAACUUUUUUAGGUUUGGUUAUCAUUUUUUACAUUGUGCUUCAGUCGAGUAAUGAAUGGUUAAGUACCUAUUUAUUGCUACUUUUGAUCUGUUGAUACACACUGGACAGAAUGAUAUAGCUGGGCACGCUCCUAUUCUCUUUAUUCAGAAUGACAUCCAAUGAACUUGAGGUUACACUGGCAUUUGUGUGACUAACAGCUACUCCUUGGAUGAUUACGUGUUUCAGAAUGAAGAUGCUUGAUUAUGUGCUUCAGAAUGAAGAUGCAUGAUUAUGUGCUUCAGGAGCUGCUAGUCGUACCAUAGAAGCAAUUAAUGAACCUCUUCUCGCUAUUUUAAUUUCAAGUGCAAUAAUCUGCUGGAGGUGUUUUCCAUUCAGACAAGUGAAGUUUUGCACCCUGCAAAUGUGCAGAUGUAUUCUGGAAGAAGAAAAGCAUACCCAGUAAGAUGCAAUCCUUGCCAUCUUACUGAGCAAGUUCAUUCAUAUUAUUUUUAGGUCCUCCUUGACAAUGUAUUUGAUCAAUUGUCUAAAGAAUUCCUGGAUUGUCAGAGUAAAAUAAAGUACGUUCAGAAUACUGUUCUUGAUUCAGUAAAAACAAUUACCUAGUUUAACCCGAGCUAUUGUGUUGAAGAACAUACACUGACAAUAAGGAUUGAACUUCUCACAAUGGUAAUGAUGAGUGUGCAAGGACUAUUAAGGUCAUAUAGGUCUAAUUAAAAUUAUCACAGAAAGGAGAGGCGGAAGCUGAGCUCCGCUCUUUUUCUGUCCAGGAGAGAAGUGUUUUUCUCCUUAAAACCUGCACUUCUUAUUGGUUUUAUAGGAAAAAAAAUCUAUGGCUCUAUUGAUUGUAGGUUGUUUAGUAGUGCACUACUAGUACCAUGCCAUACCAUUGGUUUGGACUGAUCGAAGGCAAGUUAAAGGUCAGUUAGAUAAAUGCCGCUACUGUACUCGCACAUCUUAUAUGUCAUUUAGAUUUGUACACACUUUGUAAAAGUGUGACUUCUGUAGGAAAACUCUUCAAUCUGACGUUGUUGUUCAACAGGUCGUAGAGAACAAAGUAGUCAGGCUUCGACCAGAUGUCCAACACCUCCAGAACCUUGAUUGUUGUCUUUCAAAAAGAAACUUGAUUGGUUAUCGUACAUGCCUAAACUCUAUUCUAGAAAGUAGUGCAUGUAAUCAUUAGUUCUAUGAGAGUAUGGAGAUUGAAUUUGCUAUAUUGCAGUCUGGAGCAUACUUCUUUCCAUGUGCAUAUAGGCUUUAUGUGAUUAAUCACCCUAUCACAAGUUCUUCUAGUAUUUGGAUGAAUCCUCUAAGAUAAUUCUGAUUUAAGUAAAUAUCAUCAAUCCACCUAAUGGGAGAAGCUUUAUAUUUAGUUCGAUCAAAACAUUUUCUUUGAAUCUACUUGCCUUAAUCUACUAUCUUUUUACAGUAACAUUCCGACCUAUAUCUGAGAAUUUUGUAGCUUCUUUAUUUCAACAGUAAUGAUUCACUAAGCUCUUAUCUUACCACAUGUUCCAUUUUAUUCUCCGCAUUUUAGAUAUAGCACCCCCUAUUCACCAAGCUCCUAGCACCCUGUGUUUUUAGAUCAAGCCAUUCUUCCGCAAAAAAUAAUUGAUUUGUUGGUCUGAAACCAAAAUAUUUUUGAAAGAAACUAAAUUGUACUACUACUAUCUGCUCAUUUUCUACAAUCUACACUACUACAGCAGGUGGUACAUGCCAGAGAACAUAUUGUUUAUACCUUGAAUCACGUGCUGUUAUUUUCGUUCGUAGCAUUCAUGAUUUGAGUCUCUAUAAAGGUAUCUGAAAGACUAAAAGAGAACAUAUUUUUGAUAAAUGAUGCGUAAUGCCAGAACAGUUGCACACUUGCUUCCUAUACUAAUCAGUUUUUACACUGUAGGUCGCUCAUCUGUAAGUACCCUGAUAACAGUAGACUGAUAUUAAUACAUUUGAAAAUAUGGAAACACACAAAGAUCUUUGACAGCACAGUUAUGCUGAGAGGAGUUUCAAUCUAGGAGAGCUGCAGGCGGGUUGUCUUCUUUCUGAAUCAUAUUUUUGUUGCUUUCUCCCUACUCGGACUGUAUUGGAGUUCUCUCUGGAGUGUUGUGUAAUCAGCUCUGAGGUCAUGAGUAGAGUCCCAGUUCUGUUUUUCUCAAGAGCUGACCUUGUAAAUACUAGCUCCAUGUUUCUUAGAGAUUAUCUAUAAAUUAUUCCCUCUAUUUCAUAUAGUUCAGCGAUAGGCCCUUUGAGGUAAAACUACUCCAUAUAUAUUAAAGAAGUCAAUGUGAGGUUAUUGGAAAUUUCAGUCACUAGUCGAGGAAGAAACUUUUGAAUAAUCGAGGAUGCAAUUCCAUAAAUGGCACCUCCAAAUAAAUUUCCAAAUGAGAAUUUACUACAUCAAAUCCAUGGCGCCUAAUGAACAGGUCUAGAUUAAAAUAGAGGAAAAGGAGAGAGUAUGAAUCACUAUCUAGUUGUUUUUCAUGAAGCAGAAAAUAUCUUUUUAAAGAAGACAAUCAGAUGCAGAUAGAAAGGGUCUUGCGAUGCAUGGAGCUCGUGCAGAUAGAGGUAGUAUAGCCUGCGAGGUAAAUUUACCUCGCGAACCUAUUAUUUCUUUCAGCAGCUGAAUUUGCAUGCGUGAGGAAAAUUUACCUCACAAGCCUUGCUUCUUACGGCAGUGCUCCAUAGUACGUUCCUUUCUCCCUGUUGUAAUCUUACAUCGGGUGUUUUUAUUUCUUACGUUUUAAAGUUCUGGCCGUGGGGUGGCUGGGGUGAGGAAUAAUAAUUCCUCACCCAGGGUAACGCUAUUCUAAGCAUGAAUGUAGAAUAGCUUAUUCUACACCCGCUAGUAACGCUAUGUACAAAAUCUAGUAAAACGGUGUAUAAAAUAUACUAAUUUGAAAAAAAAAUUAUCAUCCAAGUUUGUAAUUUACUACAUUUUUACGAAAAUUACUAUAUUUUAUAUAGUGUGUUGCUGUAUUUUGUAUGUAUCGUUACUGGGGUGUAGAAUAAGCUAUUCUACACUCACGCUUAGUUUAGCGUUACUAUAUAUAUCCCGAUCUCUCCAACAUAUAGAGCUUGCCAAAGGAAAAAGUAUAAAAAGGAAAGGUGAUGAUCACCAUGACUCUUGUAUAAGGGUAGAAGAUAAAAGUAAAAGAUAGGCCCUUCGCAGAGGGAAGCAGAGGUUGUCAUGCGCUUUUGUGGUUGGAUGCACAAAAUCAUAAUGCAAAAAACGUCACUUUAUAUUGCCGCUUGUGAUAAGGACAUUUAUUAUGCAAUCUGUUGUUUUUAUUUCUUCCAUAUCACAAGUUCAUACAAAGCUUAUUUCCUUCACACUAAUAGAUCAUACAUAUUUAGAGAGCAAUUUUUAUUACUUGCACCGAUGACAACUUACUUGAAGGAUCUUACUCAAUCCAUAGGUAGAUAUGGUGGACUCUCAUGGAAAAACUGGGUUUAGGGAUGUUUGGAAGCACAAGUAGUAUCUCUACUUGGUGCAAGGAAUUUGGCUAGUAUGAGAGGGAAAGGCAAGCUCAACAUGUUAGAUGAUCCAUGACUAUAUUACUUAUAUUUGGAUAUAAGAAAAAUAUAACCUAUUAUGUUGUCUUCCUUGUCCACCAUCAACUUUUUAGCAUGUCAUAUUUUAAUGAGUGCUCACAAUUACAAAAGAUGUCCAAGAUAGUAUAUCUAUAUGUGAAGCCUCUGUUUCUUUAUUACUUCUUAUUAAUUGCAAUAAUGACCAAAACUAUGUUUGUCAACUCUCAACAACUUUUAUUCAAUAUACUCUUUAUAUGUGAAGUCAUUACUUUCCAUAAGAUCAAUAUAUGACCUUUUUAUUUAUUCUUUCUAUUAUUUAAUUCCCUCAAGAUCAUAGCAAGAAAGAAAAGCCCUCAACUCAAAACUACUCUUUAUUAUAUAUUUCACGGACUGGAUUACAUAGAGGGAACAUAAAGCAAAAAUCAAGGCUAGAUCAUACUAAAACUUUAUUCUACUAGAUCAAGAUAUAACCAAAAGGAUCGAACUAAGGAAAACAAUAAAGAUAAAGAUGUGAUGGUGAUACGAUACUGGGUGAUACGUCCAUUUUGCAUCAUGUUCUCUUACUGUUAUUUAUAAUGUUUUUAUCCAUAAUAAUGCUUUUUAGAGUAAUUUUAAUGCCCUUUCUCUCAUAAUUUACAAGGUACACAUAAAGAGGGAGAAUUUUGGCAGCUGGAAAUCUGGAGCUAAAAAAGCUACGUCAGGCUAUCUAUUCUGCACAACUCCAAAUAAGAUGAAACUUCACGGGGAUUUUAUGGAAUAUUUAAGAAAUACUGGAGCCAAUAAUCACCAGAGGGGGCCACCAGGUGGGCACAACCCACCUGGGUGCGCCAGGCCCCCCAGGCACGCCCUGGUGGGUUGUGGCCUCCUCGGCCCACCUCCGGUGCCCAUCUUCUGGUACAUAAGUCAUUUUGACCUAGAAACAAAUCAGGAGAGGACUUUUGGGACGAAGCGCCGCCUCCUGGAGGCGGAACUUGGGCAUGAGCACUUUUGCCCUCCGGCGGAGUGAUUCCGCCGGGGGAACUUCCCUCCCGGAGGGGGAAAUCAUCAUCAUCAUCAUCACCAACAACUCUCCCAUCUUGGGGAGGGCAAUCUCCAUCAAAAUCUUCAACAUCACCAUCUCCUCUCAAACCCUAGUUCAUCUCUUGUGUUCAAUCUUGUUACCGAAACUAUAGAUUGUUACUUGUGGGUGACUAGUAGUGUUGAUUACAUCUUGUAGUUGAUUACUAUAUGGUUUAUUUGGUGGAAGAUUAUAUGUUCAGAUCCAUUAUGCUAUUUAAUACCCCUCUGGUCUUGAGCAUGGUUAUUAUUUGUGAGUAGUUACCUUUGUUCUUGAAGUCACGGGAGAAAUCAUGUUGCAAGUAAUCAUGUGAACUUGAUAUGUGUUCGAUAUUUUGAUAGUAUGUAUGUUGUUAUUCCCUUAGUGGUGUCAUGUGAACGUCGACUACAUGACACUUCACCAUAUUUGGGCCUAAGGGAAUGCAUUGUGGAGUAGCAAUUAUAUGGUAGGUUGCAAGAGUGAAAGAAGCUUAAACCCCAGUUUAUGCGCUAUUUCGUAAGGGACCGACUGGAUCCAAAAGUUUAAUGCUAUGGUUAGAAUUUAUUCUUAGUACUUUUCUCGUAGUUGCGGAUGCCCGCGGGAGGGUUAAUCAUAAGUAGGAGGUUUGUUGAAGUAAGAACAACACCUAAGCACCGGUCCACCCACAUAUCAAAUUAUCAAAGUAGCGAACACAAAUCGAACCAACAUGAUGAAAGUGACUAGAUGAAAUUCCCAUGCACCCUCAAGAACGCUUUGCUUAUCAUAAGAGACCGUUUUGGCAUGUACUUUGCCUCAAAAGGAUUGGUCUACCUUGAUGCAUACUUGUUACUAUUAUCAUUACUUGUUCGUUACAAAUUAUCUUGCUAUCAAACUACUCAACUACUUACAAUUUCAGCACUUGCAGACAUUACCUAAUUGAAAACUACUUGUCAUUUCCUUCUGCUCCUCGUUGGGUUCGACACUCUUACUUAUUGAAAAGAUCUACAAUUGAUCCCCUAUACUUGUGGGUCAUCAAGUCUAUUUUCUGGUGCCGUUGCCGGGGAGUGAAGCGCCUUUGGUAAGUGGAAUUUGGUAAGGAAACAUUUAUAUAGUGUGCUGAAAUUUAUUGUCACUUGUUACUAUGGAAAACAAUCCUUUGAGGGGUUUGUUCGGGGUAUCUUCACCUCGUCCGGAACCACAAUUAGUUACCCCUCAACCUACUGCACCUACUAAAAAUAUUGAAUAUGAAAUUCCUUCGGGUAUGAUAGAACAACUGCUAGCUAAUCCUUAUGCAGGAGAUGGAACCGAACAUCCUGAUAUGCACUUGAUAUAUGUGGAACAAAUUUGUGGAUUGUUUAAGCUUGCAGGUUUACCCAGGGAUGAAGUGAUGAAAAAGGUUUUCCCUUUAGAUUUUAAGGGAAAAGCAUUGGCGUGGUAUAGGCUAUGUGAUGAUAUUGGAUCAUGGAAUUGGAAACGUUUGAAAUUGGAGUUCCACCAACAAUUUUAUCCUAUGCAUCUAGUUCAUCGUGAUCGGAAUUAUAUAUAUAAUUUUUGGCCUCGUGAAGGAGAAAGUAUCGCUCUAGUUUGGGGGAGGCUUAAGUCAAUGUUAUAUUCAUGCCCGAGUCAUGAGCUCUCAAGAGAAAUUAUUAUUCAGAAUUUUUAUGCUCGGCCUUCUAGUAAUGAUCAAACCAUGCUUGAUACUUCUUGUGCUGGUUCAUUUAUGAAGAAGAUUAUUGAAUUUCGGUGGGAUAUUUUAGAAAGAAUUAAACGCAACUCUGAAGAUUGGGAACUCGGUGAAGGUAAAGAGUUAGGUAUUAAAAUUAAAUAUGAUUGUGUUAAAUAUUUUAUGGAUACAGAUGCUUUUCAAAAGUUUAACACUAAAUACAGACUUGACUCUGAGAUAGUAACCUCCUUUUGUGAAUCAUUUGCUACUCAUGUUGAACUCCCCAAAGAGAAGUGGUUUAAAUAUCACCCACCUAUUAAAAAAGAAACCAAAGAGCCGGUACCAGUUAAAGAAGAAACUACACUUUAUAAUGUUGAUCCAGUUGUUCCCUCUGCUUAUAUUAAGAAACCCCCUUUCCCUGUUAGGAUAAAGGAACAUGCUAAAGUUUCAACUGUGGUUAGCAAAAGUUAUAUUAGAACACCUAAACCUGAUGAACAAAUUAAAUUUGAACCUAGUAUUGCUAUGGUUAAAGAUCUCUUAGAAGAAGAUAUGGAUAAGCAUAUUAUUUACUUCUGUGAAGAAGCUGCUAGAAUUGCUAAACCUGACAAAAAAGAUAAACAUAGACUAGUUGUUGGCAUGCCUGUCAUCUCAGUUAAAAUAGGCGAUCACUGUUAUCAUGGUUUAUGUGACAUGGGUGCUAGUGUGAGUGCUAUUCCUUACACUUUAUAUGAAGAAAUCAUGAAAGACAUUACACCUGCUGAGAUAGAAGAAAUAGUUGUUACUAUUAAACUUGCCAAUAGAGACACCAUAUCACCAAUUGGGAUUAUUAGAGAUGUUGAAGUCUUGUGUGGGAAAAUAAAAUACCAUACUGAUUUUUUUGUUCUUGGCUCCCCACAAGAUGACUUUUGUCCCAUUAUCUUUGGUAGACCUUUCUUGAAUACAGUUAAUGCUAAGAUAGACUGUAAGAAACAAACUGUUGGUGUUAGCUUUGGUGAUGAGUCUCAUGAGUUUAAUUUUUCCAAGUUUAGUAGAAAUAUUCAUGAAAAAGAAUUACCUAGUAAGGAUGAAUUAAUUGGUCUUGCUUCUAUUGUUGUUCCACCUACUGAUCCUUUAGAACAAUAUUUGCUAGACCAUGAAAAUGAUUCACAUAUGCAUGAAAGAAAUGAAAUAGAUAAAAUUUUCUUUGAACAACGUCCUCUACUUAAACACAAUUUGCCUAUUGAAACUCUAGGAGGUCCUCCUCCACCUAAAGGUGAUCCUGUGUUUGAAUUAAAACAAUUGCCAUACACUUUGAAAUAUGAUUAUCUUGAUGAAAAGAUAAUAUAUCUUGUUAUUAUCAGUGCUAACCUUUCAGAACAUGAAGAAGAAAGAUUAUUGAAAGUUCUAAGGAAGCACCGAGCUACUAUUGGAUAUACUCUUGAUAAUUUAAAGGGCAUUAGUCCCACUCUAUGUCAGCACAAAAUUAAUAUGGAGCCUGAUGCUAAACCCGUUGUUGAUCACCAACGUCGGUUAAAUCCGAAGAUGAAAGAAGUGGUAAGAACAGAAAUAUUAAAGCUUCUGGAAGCAUGUAUAAUCUAUCUCAUAGCUGAUAGUAGAUGGGUAAGUCAUGUUCAUUGUGUUCCUAAGAAAGGAGGUAUAACUGUUGUUCCUAAUGAUAAGAAUGAGCUUAUUCCAUAAAGAAUUGUUACAUGCUAUAGAAUGGUAAUUGAUUAUAGAAAAUUAAAUAAAGCAACUAGAAAAGAUCAUUACCCUUUGCCUUUUAUUGAUCAAAUGCUUGAAAUAUUAUCUAAGCACACACAUUUUCGCUUCCUUGAUGGAUACCCUGGCUUUUCACAAAUACCUGUUUCUCAACCUCAUCAAGAAAAGACUACUUUUACUUGUCCCUUUGGAACUUAUGCUUAUAGACGUAUGCCUUUUGGUUUAUGUAAUGCACAUGCUACCUUUCAAAGAUGUAUGACUGCUAUAUUCUCUGACAUUUGUGAAAAGAUUGUUGAGGUUUUCACGGAUGACUUCUCUGUCUAUGGGAAGUCUUUUGAUGAUUGUUUAAGCAAUCUUGAUUGAGUUUUGCAGAGAUGCGAACAAACAAAUCUUGUCUUGAAUUGGGAGAAGUGCCACCUUAUGGUUGAUGAAGGCAUUGUCUUGGGUCAUAAAAUUUCUGAAAGAGGUAUUCAAGUGGACCAAGCUAAGGUUGGUGCAAAAAAUGCCAUGUCCUAAGGACAUCAAAGGUAUUCAUAGUUUCCUAGAUCAUGUUGGUUUCUAUAGGAGAUUUAUCAAAGACUUUUCUAAAAUUUCUAGGCCUCUUACUAAUCUUUUGCAAAAGGAUAUUCCUUUUGUUUUUAUGAUGAUUGUCUUGAAGCUUUUGAAACACUCAAGAAAGCUUUAAUUUCUGCACCUAUUGUUCAACCACCUGACUGGAACUUGCCUUUUGAAAUUAUGUGUGAUUCUAGUGAUUAUGCUGUUGGUACUAUUCUAGGACAAAGAGUUGAUAAGAAACUUAAUGUUAUUCAUUAUGCUAGUAAAACUCUAGACAGUGCUCAAAGAAAUUAUGCUACUACUGAAAAAUAAUUCUUAGCAGUGGUGCUUGCUUGUGAUAAAUUUAGACCUUAUAUUGUUGAUUCCAAAGUAACUGUUCACACAGACCAUGCUGCUAUUAAAUAUCUUAUGGAAAAGAAAGAUGCUAAACCUAGACUUAUUUGUUGGGUUCUCUUGUUGCAAGAAUUUGAUUUACAUAUCAUUCAUAGAAAAGGAGCCGAGAACCCGGUAGCUGAUAACUUGUCUAGGCUUGAAAAUGUGCUUGAUGACCCACUACCUAUCGAUGAUAGUUUUCCUGAUGAGCAGUUAGCUGCAAUAAAUGGUGCUCAUAGUACUCCUUGGUAUGAUGACUAUGCUAAUUACAUUGUUGCUAAAUAUUUACCACCUAACUUUACAUACCAACAAAAGAAAAAAAUCUUCUAUGAUUUAAGACAUUACUUUUGGGAUGGCCCACAUCUUUAUAAAGGAGUAGAUGGUAUUAUUAGACGUUGUGUACCUGAGCAUGAACAGGGAAAAAUCCUAUGGAAAUUUCACUCCGAGGCUUAUGGAGGGCAUCAUGCUGGAGAUAGAACUGCUCACAAGGUAUUGCAGUCUGGAUUUUAUUGGCCUACUCUCUUCAAGGAUGCUCGUAAGUACGUCUCAUCUUGUGAUGAAUGUCAGAGAAUAGGUAAUAUCGGUAAGCGUCAAGAAAUGCAUAUGAAUUAUUCACUUGCUGUUGAACCAUUUGUUGUUUGGGGAUUUGAUUACAUGAGACCUUUUCCUUCCUCUAAUGGGUAUAAGCCAUUCCAACCAGUAGUGUUGAUCACAACACCUCUAUUAAAAUGCUUAAGGAAGUUAUUUGUCCAAGGUUUGGAGCCCUAGAUAUUUAAUGACUCAUGGUGGUUCACACUUAUUCAUGGUGCUUUCCGUAAAAUGCUUGCCAAGUAUGAUGUUAACCAUAUAAUUGCAUCACCCUAUCAUCCUCAGUCUAGUGGUCAAGUUGAACUUAGCAAUAGAGAAAUAAAAUUAAUAUUGCAAAAGAUUGUCAAUAGGCCCAGGAAGAAUUGGUCUAAGAAAUUAGAUGAUGCACUUUGGGCUUAUAGAACAGCUUAUAAAAAUCCUAUGGGUAUGUCUCCAUAUAAAAUGGUUUAUGGAAAAGCUUGCCAUUUGCCUCUUGAGUUAGAACAUAAAGCAUAUUGGGCAAUCAAAGAACUCAGUUAUGAUUUCAAACUUGCUGGUGAAAAGAGGUUAUUUGAUAUUAGCUCUUUAGAUGAAUGGAGAACCCAAGCUUAUGAAAAUGCAAAGUUAUUCAAAGAAAAAGUUAAAAGAUGGCAUGACAAAAGAAUCCAAAAGCAUGAGUUUAAAGUCGGAGAAAAUGUUCUUUUGUACAACUCCCAUUUUAGAUUUUUUGCAGGAAAGAUCCUCUCAAAAUGGGAAGGCACAUAUGUCAUCGAGGAGGUUUACCGGUCUAGAGCCAUCAAAACUUUAAACUCACGCUUUUGUAUCCUUUUGUCAUGCCAUCUUUUAACCUUUUCUUUAAACAACUCGACAUUCUCAUAGGCUUGUGUUCUCCAUUCAUCAAGUGAGCUAAUGUCAAAUAACCUCUUCUCACCGCCAAGUUUGAAAUCAUAAUUGAGCUCUUUAAUAGCCCAAUAUGCCUUAUGUUCUAGUUCAAGAGGCAAAUGACAUGCUUUUCCGUAAACCAUUUUAUACGGAGACAUACCCAUAGGAUUCUUAUAAGCAGUUCUAAAAGCCCAUAAUGCAUCAUCAAGUUUCUUAGUCCAAUUCUUUCUAGAUCUAUUAACAGUCUUUUGCAAAAUUAAUUUAAUCUCUCUAUUGCUCAAUUCUACUUGACCACUAGACUGAGAAUGAUAUGGAGAUGCAAUUUUAUGGUUAACAUCAUACUUAGCAAGCAUUUUACGGAAAGCACCAUGAAUAAAAUGUGAACCACCAUCAGUCAUUAAAUAUCUAGGGACUCCAAACCUUAGAAAAAUAACUUCUUUAAGCAUCUUAAUAGAAGUUUUAUGAUCAACACUACUAGCUGGAAUAGCUUCUACCCACUUAGUAACGUAAUCAACAGCAACUAAAAUAUGUGUAUACCCAUUAGAGGAAGGAAAAUAUCCCAUAUAAUCAAAGCCCCAAACAUCAAAUGGUUCAAUAACAAGUGAGUAGUUCAUUGGCAUUUCCUCAUGUCUACCAAUAUUACCAAUUCUCUGGCAUCCAUCACAUGACAAGAAAAACUUACGAGCAUCCUUGAAGAAAGUAGGCCAAUAAAAAUCAGAUUGCAAUACCUUAUGUGCAGUUCUGUCUCCAGCGUGGUGUCCUCCAUAAGACUCGGAGUGGCACUUGCGUAGGAUUUGUCCCUGUUCAUGCUCAGGUACACAACGUCUAAUAACACCAUCUACUCCUUUAUAAAGGUGUGGGUCAUCCCAAAAGUAAUGUCUUAAAUCAUAGAAAACCUUUUUCUUUUGCUAGUAUGUGAAACUAGGUGGUAUAAAUUUAGCAACAAUGUAAUUAGCAUAAUCAUCAUACCAUGGAGUAUUACGAGAAGCAUUUAUGCCAUUUAAAUGUUCAUCAGGAAAACUAUCAUCAAUAGGUAGUGGGUCAUCAAGAACAUUUUCUAACCUAGACAAGUUGUCUGCAACGGGGUUCCCAGCUCCCUUUCUAUCAAUAUUAUGCAAAUCAAAUUCUUGUAGCAAGAGAACCCAUCUAAUAAUUGUAGGUUUAGCAUCUUUAUUUUCCAUAAGAUAUUCAAUAUCAGCAUAAUCGGUGUGAACAGUUACUUUGGAAUCAACAAUAUAAGGUCCGAACUUAUCACAUGCAAAUACAACUGCUAAAAAUUCUUUGUAAGUAGUAGCAUAAUUUCUCUGGGCACUGUCUAGAGUUUUACUAGCAUAUUGAAUAACAUUUGAUUUCUUAUCAACUCUUUGUCCUAGAACAACACCAACAACAUAAUCACUAGCAUCACACAUAAUUUCAAAAGGUAAGUUCCAAUUAGGUGGCUGAACAAUAGGUGCAGAAAUCAAGGCUUUCUUAAGUAUUUCAAAUGCUUCUACACAAUCGUCAUAAAAAACAAAAGGAACAUUGAGGGAGUCCUGGAUUAGGGGGUAUCCGGACAGCCGGACUAUAUCCUUUGGCCGUACUGUUGGACUAUGAAGAUACAAGAUUGAAGACUUCGUCCCGUGUCCGGAUAGGACUCUCCUUGGCGUGGAAGGCAAGCUUGGCAAUACAGAUAUAUAGAUCUCCUUCCUUGCAACCGACUCUGUGUAACCCUAGACCCCUCCGGUGUCUAUAUAAACCGGAGGGUUUUAGUCCGUAGGACAACAGACAAUCAUACCAUAGGCUAGCUUCUAGGGUUUAGCCUCUCCGAUCUCGUGGUAGAUCAACUCUUGUACUACUCAUAUUAUCAUGAUUAAUCAAGCAGGACGUAGGGUUUUACCUCCAUCAAGAGGGACCGAACCUGGGUAAAACAUCGUGUCCCCUGCCUCCUGUUACCAUCCGCCUUAGACGCACAGUUUGGGACCCCUACCCGAGAUCCGCCGGUUUUGACACCGACAUUGGUGCUUUCUUUGAGAGUUCCUCUGUGUCGUCAUCAUUAGGCUUGAUGGCUCCUUCAAUCAUCGAUAGCGAUGCAGUCCAGGGUGAGACUUUUCUCCCCGGACAGAUUUUUGUAUUCGGCGGCUUCGACUGUGGGCCAACUCGCUUGGCCAUCUGGAGCAGAUCGAGAGUUACGCCCCUGGCCACUAGGUCAGGUUUGGAAGCUUAAACUACACGGCCGACAUCCGCGGAGACUUGAUCUUCGACGGAUUCGAGCCCCUGCCGAGUGCGCCGCACGGUCACGAUGAGCAUGAUUUAGCUCUACCAUCGGAUAGUGUUCAGGAGACCACACCGGGAACCGCUCCGACCCUCAAUUCAGAGCCAAUUGCGCCAUCCAUGGACGAGUGGAUAGACCCUGCCACGGAGGCCGUAUUCUCAGCGACGAUCGAGCCGAGGAUUGACCUUACCCUUCACGGGAGCCGUGACGCCGAACUACCGGAUUCUUCCCCGGCCACGGACUCCGAACCGCCUGUGCCUGUCGAAUCCGACUGGGCGCCGAUCAUGGAGUUCACCUCCGCGGAUAUCUUUCAGCACUCGCCUUUCGGCGACAUACUGAACUCAUUAAGGUCUCUCUCCUUGUCAGGAGAGUCCUGGCCGAACUAUGUCAGGCAGGAUUGGGAUGCAGAUGACGAAGAAAUUUGCCGCCCUCCCACCACCCACUUAGUAGCCACUAUCGACGAUUUGACCGACAUGCUCGACUUCGACUCCGAAGACAUCGACGACAUGGACGACGAUGCAGGAGGCGAACAAGAACCACUGCCCACAGGGUACUGGAAAGCCACCUCAUCAUAUGAUAUAUAUAUAUGGUGGACACACCCAAAGAAGGCAAUGGCGAUGGGACAACGGAGGAUGACCCCUCCAAGAAGCAACCCAAGCGCCAGCGUCAACGGCGCCGCUCUAAGUCUCGCCAAGGCAAAAGCGGUGACACCGGCACAGGAGAUAAUAGCACUCCGGACAGUGCCGAAGAUAACAACAAUCCCCUCCAGCAAGAUUUAGAGCAGGAGGAUGGAGAAGCCAGCCCUCCCGAGAGAGCGGCAGAUGGAGAGGCGGAGGAUGAUAAUUACAUGCCUCCCUCCAAAGACGAGGCAAGCCUCGAUGAUGAUGAAUUUGUCGUGCCUGAGGAUCCCGUCGAACAAGAGCGCUUCAAGCGCCGGCUUAUAACCACGGCAAAUAGCCUUAAGAAAAAGCAACAACAGCUUCAAGCUGAUCAAGAUUUGCUAGCUGACAGAUGGACUGAAGUCCUUGCGACCGAGGAAUAUAAACUCGAAUGCCCCUCCAAGAGUUACCCAAAGCGCAGGUUGCUACCCCGACUGGAGGAGGAAGCACCAAAACCUACAUCUCCAGCGUAUGACGCGGCUGAUCGGCCACCCUGUGGCCGCGACAGAGAGGCAUUUCAGCCAAAAGCUCAGCCCGCACCCCGACGCCACUCAAAUAAAAAUGUCAAGUCAUGGGGAAAUACGCCAGACCUGCGAGAUGUAUUGGAGGACAAAGCAAAACACGCAUGAUCGAUCUACGAAUCACGAGGGUGCGCCACUAUGCGAGACGAUAACCGUCACGCCGGAUACAGUAAAAGUAAGUCCGGCCGGGCCGAACACAGCGGACAAGACUCAUUUGAGCUGUGUCGUGAUAUAGCCUAGUACAGAGGCGCUUCAUACCCCCUAUGCUUCACAGACGAAGUAAUGGAUCACCAAAUCCCAGAGGGUUUCAAACCCGUAAAUAUCGAAUCAUACGACGACACAACAGAUCCUGCGGUAUGGAUCGAGGACUUCCUCCUGCACAUCCAAAUGGCCCGCGGUGACGAUCUACACGCCAUCAAAUACCUCCCACUCAGACUCAAAGGACCAGCUCAGCAUUGGCUCAGCAGCCUGCCAGCAGAAUCCAUUGGCUGUUGGGAAGAUCUGGAAGCCGCAUUCCUCGACAACUUCCAGGGCACUUAUGUGCGACCACCAGAUGCCGAUGACUUGAGCCACAUAAUUCAACAGCCAGAGGAAUCAGCCAUGCAAUUCUGGACACGGUUCCUAACAAAGAAAAAUCAAAUCAUCGACUGUCUGGAUGCAGAGGCCCUAGCAGCUUUUAAGCACAACAUCCGCGACGAGUGGCUCGCCCGGCACCUUGGCCAGGAAAAGCCGAAAUCUAUGGCAGCCCUCACAACACUCAUGACCCACUUUUGCGCGGGAGAAGACAGCUGGCUGGCUCGCAGCAAUAAUAUAUCAAAGAAUCAUGGUACUUCGGAUACCAAGGAAGGCAAUGGCAGGUCACGUCGCAACAAAUAGGAGCGCCGCAUCAACAGCGACAAUACCGAGGAUACGACAGUCAAUGCCGGAUUCAAAGGCUCUAAACCCGGCCAGCAGAAAAAGUCAUUCAAAAGAAGCACUCCGGGCCCGUCCAGUUUGGACCAUAUACUCGAUCGCUCGUGUCAAAUACAUGGCACCCCGACAAGCCAGCCAACCACACCUGAGGGAGUCCUGGAUUAGGGGGUGUCCGGAUAGCCGGACUAUACCUUCGGCCAGACUCCUGGACUAUGAAGAUACAAGAUUGAAGACUUCGUCCCGUGUCCGAAAGGGACUUUUCUUGGCGUGGAAGGCAAGCUUGGCGAUACGGAUAUGUAGAUCUCCUACCAUUGUAACCGACUCUGUGUAACCCUAGCCCUCUCCGGUGUCUAUAUAAACCGGAGGGUUUUAGUCCGUAGGACGAACAACAAUCAUACCAUAGGCUAGCUUCUAGGGUUUAGCCUCCUUGAUCUCGUGGUAGAUCUACUCUUGUACUACCCAUAUCAUCAAUAUUAAUCAAGCAGGACAUAGGGUUUUACCUCCAUCAAGAGGACCCGAACCUGGGUAAAACAUUGUGUCCCCUGCCUCCUGUUACCAUCCGCCUAGACGCACAGUUCGGGACCCCCUACCCGAGAUCCACCGGUUUUGACACCGACAUUGGUGCUUUCAUUGAGAGUUCCUCUGUGUCGUCACUUUUAGGCCCGAUGGCUCCUCCGAUCAUCAACGAUGAUGCGAUCCAGGGUGAGACUUUUCUCCCCGGACAGAUCUUAGUAUUUGGCGGCUUUGCACUGCGGGCCAAUUCGCUUGGCCAUCUGGAGCAGAUCAAAAGCUACGCCCCUGGCCAUCAAGUCAGAUUUGAAAGUUUGAACUACAUGGCCGACCUCCGCGGAGACUUGAUCUUCGACGGAUUCGAGCCGCAGCCGAGCGCGCCGCACUGUCACGAUGGGCAUGAUCUUGCUUUGCCGCCGAACAGUGCCCUGGAGGCCGCACCCGCAUCAGCUCCGACCCUUAAUUCGGAGCCAACUGCGCCAAUCGAGGAUGGGUGGUUGGACACCGCCUCGGGGGCUGCAAUCUCUACGGCGAUCGAGCCGAACACCAGCCCUAUUCUCUGCGAAGCCCGUGACUCCAAGGAGCCGGACUCCUCUCCAGACUCCGAGCCCUCCUCGCCCCUACCGAUCUAACCCGAUUGGGCGCCGAUCAUGGAGUUCACCGCCGCGGACAUCUUUCAGCACUCGCCCUUCGGCGAUAUUCUGAAUUCACUAAAGUCUCUCUCUUUAUCAGGAGAGCCCUGGCCGGACUAUGGUCAACAAGGUUGGGAUGCGGAUGACGAAGAAAUUCAAAGCCAACCUACCACCCACUUCAUAGCCACUGUCGAUAAUUUAAACGACGUGCUCGACUUCGACGCCGAAGACAUCGACGGUAUGGACGGUGAUGUAGGAGAUGAACAUGAACCAACGCCUAUAAGGCACUGGACAUCCACCUCAUGUCAUGAUGUAUACAUGGUGGACACACCCAAAGGAAGCAACGACGAGGAACACAGGGAUGCAAUGAGGGAUCGUUCACUCAAAAAGCAAUCAAAGCGGCGAUGAAAGCGCCGCUCCAAGCCCCACCUCGACAGAGACAGCAACCAUACAGACCCAGCCAUAGAGCAGGACGAGCCGGCGGAUGACGAACAUGCCUUCGAGCAACCGUCCGAACAGGGCAUCUUGGAUAAACAAACCGAACACCCCGUCCCCGGCGAAAACAACAGUCCGGACGACCUUACGCCGGAUAGGCUCAUGGAGCAGAAGAACCUCCACGAAUGGCUCGUCGCCACUGUGCGUAGCCUGAAAAAUCAGAAGCGGAAGCUCAAAACUGCGGAAGAUGCACUCACAAUCAGAUGGAGCAAAGUACGCAACACCGCAGACAAAUAUGGCGGCAGUCGCCGCACAAAAAGCUAUCCAAAGCGAAAGCUACUGCCUGAAUUUGACAAGGAGGCCUUAGAGCCCCCGCAGUAAAAAAUUAGGAAAGCAACCCGGUCGGAUAGACGACCGCAUGGCCAGCAUGAAGCGGCAAGCGGCGACGCACACAAGCCGGCACGCGAUCCACCAAAGGAUCCGCAUCAAAAAGAUGGCCCAGCCAGAUCUAUCUACGGGCCAAGAAAGCAAGCUCUAGUAAGCAAUGCAACACAACAAAUAUCCGAACAUCACGGCACACCCAAAUACAGGGGUGCCGCACACCCCCUAUGUUUCACCGAUGAGGUGCUGAACCAUGAAUUUCCAAUGGGAUUCAAGCCUGUAAACAUAGAGGCGUACGACGGAACAACAGACCCUGGGGUCUGGAUCGAGGAUUAUAUCCUCCACAUACACAUGGCCAGAGGAGAUGACCUCCACGCCAUAAAAUACUUACCCCUCAAGCUUAAAGGGCCAGCCCGGCAUUGGCUCAAAAGCCUUCCCGAAAACACCAUUGGAAGUUGGGAAGAGCUUGAGGAUGCUUUCCGGGCAAAUUUUCAAGGGACCUAUGUCCGCCCUCCGGAUGCAGACGAUCUCAGUCACGUAACUCAACAGCCCGGAGAGUCAGCCCGGAAAUUCUAGAACAGAUUUCUUACUAAAAAGAAUCAGAUAGUCGACUGUCCGAACGCCGAAGCCCUAGCAGCUUUUAAGCAUAACGUUCGAGACGAAUGGCUCGCCAGACACCUCGGCCAAGAAAAGCCAAGAACAAUGGCCGCAUUAACAAGCCUCAUGACCCGCUUUUGCGCAGGAGAGGACAGCUGGUUGGCAAGAUGUAGCACCAGUGACCCAAGUACAUCUGAAGUUAGGGAUGGAAACGGAAAACCCCGACGCAGCAAGGACCAACGCCAGAAUAAGGGAAACAACCCAAAGAGCACGACGGUCAAUGCCGGAUUCAAAAGCUCGCGGCAGAAUCAGAGAAAGGCGCCCCUCAAGGAUAACAGGGAUGAGCUAUCCAACUUAAACAAAAUCUUGGACAAGAUAUGUCACACAGUACUCCCGGGAAGCCUGCGAUCGAUACCCACAGAGAUUGUUGGGUUUUCAAGCAAUCCGGCAAACUCAACGCCGAACACAAGGGGCUCAACACACCAAGUGAGGACGACGACGAACCCCACAAGCAGAGCACUAGGAAACAAAAAGAUUUCCCACAAGAAGUCAAAACAGUAAACUUACUUCACGUGACGAACAGAAUGGCGCCAACAGAGAUACGCGCCAUACGGCCUAUCCCAAAGGAGUCUCGCCAAUGGUUGUUAAAACCGAUCACCUUCGACCAUCAGGAUUACUCUAGAAGUAUCCGGAACGCAGGCUGGACUGCCUUGGUAUUAGAUCCAAUAAUCGACGGACUCCACUUUACAAAUGUCCUAAUGGACGGCAGCAGUGGUCUAAACCUGUUAUACCAGGACACAAUCCGCAACAUGGGGAUAGACCUAACAAAAAUUCGCCAUAUUAAAACCUCCUUUCAAGGGGUAAUGCCAGGCCCGGAUGCCCGUUGCAUGGGUUCUCUCCGGCUAGAAGUUAUGUUCGGCUCCCCCGAUAACUUCCGUCGCGAACAACUAACUUUCCACAUCGCCCCAUUCUCAAGUAGCUAUCAAGCACUGCUGGGACGCGAAGCUUUCCCCGCUUUAACACAAUACCGCAUUAUGCAUCUCUUACGCUUAAGAUGCCCGGUCCACGAGGCAUCAUCUCAUUAAAGGGAAAACAUUGAGUGUUCCCCCCGCGCGGAAGAUAGUGCUGCUGCCUUGACAGCCCCACAAUAAAGCGGCUUCACCAGCCAAAGCACCUAAACAGGUCGUCAAGACCACGGACACGGCUAGACGAAUCCGGCAUAAACAUACAAUGGAUAAAGGCUUAAUAGCCGUAUACCCCUGUACUAGGGGCUCCGCGCAUAUAAAACAAGAGACAAUAAAGCUCAAUUUUACCCAUUUCGAUUUAUACUUUGUUUAUUUAGUAUAACUCAUGUUCGGCACGAUCUUUCCUAAACUAAGUUCCUCUCUUUUACAGAUGAACACCAUGCUACGCCCGUCCAGGAUACGGCACAACGGAGACACAGGCGCAGACGUGCAGCAGGGACCCGUUCCAAGGAUUCUUUUCAGAUUAAGACCCUGCGUAAACCUUUUUUACUGUCUCUUGUUGAUACACAUCCCCUGGUUUCUUGGUAUAACCAAGGAGGAGGCUGGCGUUUUGGCAUGUGGCCACGUCAGAGUUUUGCGCGUACCUGGACACUAGGGGCUUAUUACUAAGGGCGUUAUCCCGCCCGCCCUCAUAAAGACCGAAUACCUUAGGGAGUGUUCGGCGUCGCGAGUUUGGCCUUAUAUGCAUCAGCUCCGAAUCAUGUCUUUGGUCAAAUGUUGGGUUUGCCCGGCUCCUGUGUUUUGCUACCUUACGUUCCGCUCUAUCGGCUAAGGCGGCACCAGGAGAACUACUGCGAUUGUGCCCCGGUUCGGCCAGGCGAGCACCUCAGUAGAGAAAGCCGACAAUUGACUGUCAUGAUAUAGCGUGAGACUGGUCAACCACUCGAUGACUUACCGGAAUCUUUAGGAUUCCUCCGCAUUAACGAAGGGCAGCUUCCCGGCCAAGCACAUACGCGCCCCGAGUUCGGGCAAGCGCAGGCGCCACCAGGGGCUAUAUAAGUAGCCUCACUGUCAAACUCCUAUGGCUAAGUGAAAGUGAUAAAGCAACAUUGUCCGAUUGCCUAGUUCGCUGCGCUAUCACGUCCUUUGUAGGACCAAGACGUUGGAUCAAGUGUGAAAAUGCGCCUUCUGCGAACACUCCCGCAUUAUGUGCGUGGGGGCUGAAGCCGAUGACUGCCUUCUUUCAGAUUAUAUAUACAUAUAUGUUAAAUGGCCGCACAGGAGGUAUUAUAAUACUUGCAGGCACAAGUAUAAAAAGCUUCUACAAUUUAUCAAAAUGUUGUUUUACAAUAAUAUAUGCUAUUCAAAUAUAGUAUCCAUCGAGCAUUGCGUCUCUAUUAAACAAGCGCCUUGCAGAACUUCCUGAAAAUAGUGCUCGGCAGGUACUCGGCUUCCAUCCGAGUCUGGGAAUGCAAUAGUGGUGGCCUCCAUUUCCGCCCAGUAUGUCUUCACACGGGCAAGAGCCAUCCGCGCACCCUCUAUGCACGCUGACCUCUUCAUCGCAUUGAUAUGCGGCGCCGCACCAAGGAACUGCUGCACUAAGUUGAAAUAACUUUUCGGCUCUGGCCUCUCUGGCCACAGAUGACUCAUGACAUACUUCAUGGCGAGUCCGGACAACCUAUUUAGCUUGGCCCAUUCGGCCAAACGAUCGGCUAAUGACAGUGGACGCUCCGGAUUGUGGAACUGCGACCAAAAGUGCUUUUCCACUUCGCGAUCUUCUUGAUCUCGGAAGUGUUCGGCCGCAUCUGCGGCACUCGCUGCCAAAUCCAGAUAGGUGUCCGCCGUACUCCACAUCCGGUCUAACGGAGCAUGUUUAGGAUCACAUAACUUCCUCCGCAGCAUAAAGGGCUUUCCAGCCGCGAUCUCUCCGGCCAGACGCAGCUCCUCCUUCGUAGCUCUCAUCAUAGAGCGAGCAUCCUUGGCAUCGGCAACGGCCUUCUCCAGGUCCGUCUGUUUCGCCCGAUCUUCUUUUUCAAGAAGCUUGCAACGGUUAGCAGCGUUCUUCAGCUUCAGGCCAUCUCGGCCAUUUCCUUCUUGCUUCGGCAGUGAGCAGCCUGUUCGGCUUUCAGCUCUUCAAUUGCCUUUAAGGCAGUCACAUCACUUUUCCUGGCUUGCUCCUUGGCUCGGGCAAGUUCCGUUCGAAGAUUCUCCAUGGCAGCAGCACCAUCUGCAUCAAGCGCACACAUUGUAAGAUACUGGCAUAAAGCUCCUCUUACCAGGUGCCGCCGGAGGAAUUACAUACCUUGUGCCUCGUCAAGCCGCUUGUUGACAAGCGCGAUAUCGGCAUCCGCCACGUCAAGUUGCCUCUUUAGCUCGGCACCUUCAUCAGUCCGGCUGGCCACCGGACACUUCGCCACCUACGUAUGAAGGCGGCAUGUUAGACCUGGGAUUAUGAUCCUCUGCGCGCCGUCACUUUUGACAACACACAGAGUCUCAGGGGCUACUAUCUACAUAGGGCGCAUCUUAUUUAUGCGCAACUGUCCAAAAAUGGUACAUUAUUUCGCGUACCUCAAAACCUGUCAGUAAACUCCUGACGGCCUCGUGCAAUCCACUCUCCGUGGAUGAAAUCCUCUCAAUCACCGUACCCAUCAAUGCACGGUGCUCCUCUGAGAUAGAUGCUCGUCCUAGCAGAUUCUUCAGCUCCUCCGACCGCGCACCAGACAGCGCCGGACUCGUCCGAUGGCCCUUUUCGAAGGCCGGACGCGGAGGGCCUUGGGGGGCCAUAUGACUACCUUCCGGCCCUGGCGGAUUCGGAGAAACCCUCCACGACGAUACCUCAGGGUCGCAUGCCUCGCAAGGCGGUAUGGCAGGGGGAGGCGUUCCGCUCUCCAUCAUCUCCGGAAGAAGAUCCCCCGAAGACGAGCUCUGCUGAGAAGGGCUAAGGUUCGAGCUACAAGGUAAAUUUUUGAUUACUUUUCUCAGAUAUAAAGCAAGGAUUUCUCUCAUUUCUUAAAAAGAAAACUCCUCUAUACUUACAGCUCGGUGGAGGGUUGAUCCCCUUGAGGGCAUAAUUCGGCCGAAGUAUCCCCCAACACAGGACCCUCUGACGAAGAUUUCUUCCCCCGCUUUGAGGCCAUGGUCUCCGGGUCUUCAGAGGCGGUCCUCUUCUUCCCCUGAGGAGAGGAAUUUUCGAUUCCUCCCUUCCGGACAACCUCCUUCGAGGAGGCUGUAGCUUCCUUGUCCCCUCCCUCGCUUUCCUUUGAAGGCACAACCUCCAACAUCCUGACUAGCAUGGGACCCGACGUGGUCUCGGGGAGGGGGGCCGGACACCUAAUUAGCUUUGCUUUCGCUAUCCACUCCUGUUUAAAGGACAACUCUUUUAGGGGCAAUUUUAUGAUAAAUAUACGGAUAGCGAGUCCGGGCACAAGGCUACUUACUUGAGUAUCCGGACGAUUGCAGCUUAGACCUGCGUCCUCCGUAGAAUCCGGACACACUACUUGUGGUCCGAAGAACAAUUUGUACAUCUCCACGGGCGUCAUGCCAAGAAAAUGUUGGAGAACUCGUGGUCCCUCCGGGUUGAACUCCCACAGGCGGAGGGGGCGACAUUUGCAGGGCAGAACUCGGUGAAUUAACAUAACCUGUGUCACCACGACCAGACUGAUGUCUCUUUCUAGGAGAUCUCGGAUGCGGCCCUGCAACAGGGGCACGUCCUUUGCCGACCCCUAGUCCAGCCCCUUAUUGACCCAUGACGCCAGUCGUGGCGGGGGACCCGAGGGAAAGCAGGCAGCGCCACCCACUUGGUGCUCCUGGAAGCCGUGAUAUAAAACCACUCUCGUUGCCAUAAGAUGGACUCCCCUUGAAAAGAGCCCUCGGGCCAUGGAGCACCAGCAUUCUUGCUUAUAAAAGCACCUCCGCACUCCGCGUGCCAUCCCUCAAUCAUCUUCGGCUCUACUUUGAAGGUCUUGAGCCAUAGUCCGAUGUGAGGAGUAAUACGGAGGAAGGCUUCACACAUGACGAUGAAUGAGGAAAUAUGGAGGAUGGACUCUGGAGCUAAGUCGUGAAAUUCCAGCCCAUAAUAAAACAUAAGACCCCUCACGAAGGGAUCCGUCGGGAAGCCUAGCCCCCGAAGGAAGUGAGACAUGAACACCAUACUCUCACCAGGCUUGGGAGUGGGAAUGACCUGCCCUUGAGCAGGCAGCCUAUGCGAGAAUUCGCCGGUCAAGAACCUGGCCUCUCUCAACUUCAGCACGUCCUCCUCCGUGAUGGAGGAGGGCAUCCAUCGGCCUCGAAGGUCGGAACCGGACAUUGUCGAAGGUCCGAAGCACCUGAAAUCUGGAGCCUUGGGUGUUGGAACUCGAGGCGAAGGGCGAACUCGUUUGAGAUUGAAAGAAAGGAGUAAGGCCUUGGUCUCUUUAUAAGAGGUUGAAUACCAAGGGCCCUCCCCUUGACCGUUUGGGACUCGCCUUUGAUCGAGAAAACAUACCAACGGGUUACUCACACUCGUAUUGAUGAGAAUCCCGGAAUAAGGGGACAUGAUCUCUGCUUUGACAAGACGUGCCAAGGAAAGCGCCUCGCUAAACGCGCUGACAUGGGACAAUAAAACGAUUCGAAUAAAGACUUUGCCGUGGUGUGAUGUCAUGCUACGGAAUACGUCAACAGAUUAGAUUUGUGUAAAUAUUAUUCUCUCUAUGGCAAUACAUGGAAACUUAUUUUGCAGAGCCGGACACUAUCUUUGUGUUCAAAAUCUUCUAUGAAGUACUUGGAGGAGGAACCCGCCUUGCAAUGCCGAAGACAAUCCGCGCGCCGGACUCAUCAUCAUUGAAGCCUGGUUGAGGGGCUACUGAGGGAGUCCUGGAUUAGGGGGUGUCCAGAUAGCCGGACUAUACCUUUGGCCGGACUCCUGGACUAUGAAGAUACAAGAUUGAAGACUUCGUCCCAUGUCCGGAAGGGACUUUUCUUGGCGUGGAAGGCAAGCUUGGUGAUACGGAUAUGUAGAUCUCCUACCAUUGUAACCGACUCUGUGUAACCCUAGCCCUCUCCGGUGUCUAUAUAAACCGGAGGGUUUUAGUCUGUAGGACGAACAACAAUCAUACCACAGGCUAGCUUCUAGGGUUUAGCCUCCUUGAUCUCGUGGUAGAUCUACUCUUGUACUACCCAUAUCAUCAAUAUUAAUCAAGCAGGACGUAGGGUUUUACCUCCAUCAAGAGGGCCCGAACCUGGGUAAAACAUUGUGUCCCCUGCCUCCUAUUACCAUCCACCUAGACACACAGUUCGGGACCCCCUACCUGAGAUCCGCCGGUUUUGACACCGACAACACAACAGGGAUUGUUGGGUGUUCAAGCAGGCCGGCAAGUUAAAUGCCGAAAACAAAGAUAAGGGGUCACAUAGCAAUGACGAGGAGGAGCCCCGGCAGCCGAACACCGGAGGAUAGAAGAGGUUGCCCCCACAAGUGCGGACGGUGAACAUGAUAUACGCAACCCACAUCCCCAAGAGGGAGCGGAAGCAUGCGCUAAGGGACGUAUAUGCGUUGGAGCCAGUCGCCCCAAAGUUCAACCCGUGGUCCUCCUGUCCGAUCACCUUCGAUCGCAGGGACCACCCCACUAGUAUCCGUCAUGGCGGAUUCGCCACACUGGUCCUAGACCCAAUCAUUGACGGAUUUCACCUCACUCGAGUCCUUAUGGAUGGCGGCAGCAGCCUGAACCUGCUUUAUCAGGACACAGUGCGCAAAAUGGGCAUAGACCCCUCAAGGAUCAAACCCACGAAAACGACCUUCAAAGGCAUCAUACCAGGUGUAGAGGCCCAUUGGACAGGCUCAGUCACACUGGAAGUGGUCUUCGGAUCCCCGGAUAACUUCCGAAGCAAGGAGUUAAUCUUUGAUAUAGCCCCGUUCCGCAGUGGCUAUGAUGCACUGCUCGGGCGAACCACAUUUGCGAGAUUCAAUGCGGUACCGCAUUAUGCAUACCUCAAGCUCAAGAUGCCAGGACCUCGGGGGGUCAUCACAGUCAAUGGAAACACAUAGCGCUCUCUCCGCACGGAGGAGCACACUGCGGCCCUCGUAGCAGAAGCACAAAGCAGCCUCUUAAGGCAAUCCGCCAGUUCGGCGAUUAAAGACCUGGACACCUUCAAGCGCGCCCAGAGUAAUCGGCAACAAGACCGCCUGGCACGUUCCGAGCUCGCAUAGCAAUGCGGCCCCCGCCCCAGUCCCAGCCAAACGGCAAAAUCCGUUCCACGCGUACAUAAUUACGCAUUGAAAAUACCAUGGGCACAGGUGGGGAGGGGGGCACGACUACGGCACGCCCCAAGACGCGGCUCAACCGCACUAGGGGCUUCCCGCUUUGUUAUUUUUCUCUCUUUUAGGACUUUAAUCUCUAGAAACCCUGUCCGGCUGUAUGAUUGCCGGACACACAAUGCAACAACCAAGGAGGCAGAAAGCUAUGUCGCACCACGAUACUCCCAGGUGGCCUCUGAUAACGAGUGAAAUACUUGGUUUAAAUACCAUUCCUCAGGUUGCCCUUGGAGGGGACAUGUCAAAUAGUCAUACUUUUUGCUUAUCGCACUACUUGUAUCAUUCUGCUUUGACGCACCUUUUUGAAUAUACAAUGCAUAGCACUAGACUAUUAUCACAUUCUCUAUUACACAAUACACAAUAUAUGUUCAUUCAUGACAUUCAGCACCCGUACACUCUGGUACGGCCAAUACGCCACGGGCUUAAGCGUACCCCAUAAUAUGGCGUGAGAAGUCUGAACACUUUUGAUAGUGCGGCACCCCGAACUUAUAGCAUUAUAUGCAUCAGCUCCGAAUUAUGUCUUGGGUCAAUAGUUGGGUUUGCCCGGCUCCCAUGUUUUGGUACCUUACGUUCCGCUAUAUCGGCUAAGGUAGCACUGGGAGAACUACUGCGAUUGUGCCCCGGUUCAUCUGGGCUAAGCACCUCAGUAGAGAAAGCUAAAACUGACUGUCAUGAUAAGGCGAGAGCUGGUCGCUGUUCGAGAGGUCUCGAGUCCCUAAAGACUUAUGCCGCUUAGAGCGAGGAGUCGGCUUUGUCCGGCUUAAGGCGUGUAUAGCGCCCCAAAUUUGGCCUUCCAAAUACUAGGGGCUUCGCCAAAAUUUAAAAUUGUAGACUUGUAUGGCUAAGUGAGAGUGAUAAACAUUAUAGUUUGAUUGCCUUGUUCGUUGUGCUGAGCACCUCCCUCGAAGGACCCAAAAAUGGGAAAAAGAGUGCUCAGGUUUAUCCUAAACACCCCAGCACUCGUGGCAUGGGGGUAAAAGCCGACGACUGUCCAUCUCUCAGAUUUGAUAAACAGCUGCACAGAAGGUAAUAUUUUAAAUUCAAACAAGCGUUGCAUAGCGCAUAUGAACAAGUUUUCAUAAUACAAGAUCACACGAGCAAGUUCAUUCAAAAUUACAUCCUUCGCACACUCGUCCGCCACAAGACAGGCACCCUUCAGGACACCCUCAUAAUACAUCUCAGGGCGGCGAUGCUCCUUGCCCUGCGGCGGGCCCUCCUUCACCAGCUUCUCGGCGUCCAUCUUGGCCCAGUGCACCUUCGCACGGGCAAAGGCCCGGCGUGCACCUUCGAUGCAGACGGACCGCUUGAUGACCUCCAGCCGUGGGCAGGCAUCCACAAGCCGCCUCACCAGGCCAAAGUAGCUGUUGGGAAGAGAGCCGACAAGCCACAUCCGGACUAUAAGGCCCCUCAUGGCCUGUUCGGCCGCCUUGUGCAGCUCGACUAGUUUCUUCAGCUAGUCGCUCAUAGGCAUCGAAUGUUCGGUCCCAGUAUACUGAGACCAGAACAACUUCUCCGUCGAGCUUCCCUCCUUGGCCUGCGAGGCAAAUCUGCGAAUGCUCCUGGAGAGCUCCGAACUCUGGUAAGUAACAAGUAAUUUACUUUCACAUGCUUGCUUUGCAUAUUGAAUGCCUUACCCGCCGCUAUCUUCCUCAUCGCCUCAAUUUCCUGGAGGGCCUUUUGGGCUUCAGCCUUGGCAUGCUUUGUGCUCUCGAGGGCCGCGGCAAGCUCGGACUCUCGUGUCUUCGAGUCAAGCUCCAAAGCCUAGCUCGUGCUUCUUCACGAGAGCCUGGAGCUCUUGUUGCACCUCGCCCACCCGUGCCUAUUGUUUUUCCCGCUCGGUGCGCUCCUUGGCCACUUUGUUUUCGGCCUCGGACAACGCUUGCUUCAGGGUCGCCACUUCGGCCGUGGCCCCUGGCACAUUCAUGAUGAUCCUGUCAUUUAGCAACCACAUUUUCUUUUUUAUAUAGACAAGGUAUUACUUACCUAUGUUCUCCUCGAGCUGCCUCUUGGCAAGGCCGAGCUCUUUCUCGGACCCCUUGGGGUCCUGCUUCAGUGUGGCGACCUCCACAGUCAGUGCGGCAGAGGUCAGCAGCGAAGCCUGCAUACGCAUACAUAGAUACUUAUAUUAGACUCCUGCCAAUAUUAUUUGAUCCUCUAUUCGGCUUUUCUUUGUGAACACCAAAAAGAGCAUCAGGUGCUACUGUCUAUGCGGUAAUAUUUUCCUAUAUUUUAAAUACUCACCUCAAAGCCUGUUAGAAGGCUGGCACAGGCUUCAGUCAGUUAGCUCUUGGUGGACUGAACCUUCUGGAUCACCGCACUCAUAAUAGUGUGGUGCUCUUCGUCGAUGGAAGCGCCGCGAAGCGCUCCCAGCAGGUCAUCCGGUGCCUCUGGAUGGAUAGAGGUCACCGGCACGGAUGGCUUGCCCCUUUUGGAAGGGAGCCGCCUGCCCGAGUCCGGAACCACUAGAGGUUUCGGCACGGUGUUCGGCUGAGGGCCGAACUUGGAGCCCCUGGGAGCCUUGCUCCCUUUGCUCCUGGAGUUUGGAAGGUCGCCUUGAGGCGCCUCCGGGACUGUCCCCCCCGGCUCGGUGCCCCUUGAGACAAUACCUCGGCAUUGUCCGUAGGGCAAGGAGAGGACGGUUGGAAGUGUAUCACUAUUCAUGUCCGACGAGUCCAAGGAACCGUCCGACGAUGAUAUGUCAAUACGGGCUUGGGGCGGACUGCAUAAUCAUAUUCGACGUUAGGAGAAGCAGUGCGACAAAGGUAUGCUAUGAGUUACUCUGGUAUCCAAAUACUUACGACUUUGCCAGGGGCUUGGCCCUGAGCAGCCACUCGUCUUCGCCAUCGGCGGUGGUGGUGGAGCAGUCCGGAAGGAGAGUCCUUCCCUUCUUGGACCCUUCGGCCUCCCCGGUUGGGGCGGCCUUCCUUUUCUUGUCUCCCCCGGCUGGAGGUGGAGAAUCUUCAUCUUCCUUCUCUUCGUUUUCACGGAGGAGUGCGUCUUGGUGUUAUCAGACGAUGAGUCUAAUACCACCUGGUGCCGGGAACUCUUUCAGGUUCCCUUGGCUUUCUUCUUGGUCUUCUCCGGCACCUCAUAAGGAGCCGGAGUCCGCAUCUCCGUCAGGAGAGCGUCCGCAGGGUCUUCGGGCAGAGGGGCCGGACAGUUAAUCCGCUCCGAUGUCUCCACCCAGUCCUGUCAAAGGCAUGUGAGCUCAGAUCUCGCACAUGGUUAAGCUAUGGGAAAUAAAUAUCCUACCAGAUGUACAGAACUUACCGAAUUCGUAGGGCACUUCGCGCUUAGCCCGCGGUCCUCAGUAAGAGAAGGAGGGACCUCGGCGCCCUUGAACAACACCCUCCAGACGUCCUUAUGCAUCGUGUCGAAGAGCUCAUGCAGAGUCUGGUGCUGGGCCGGGUCGAACUCCCAUAAGUUGAAAUCCCGUUGUUGACAUGGGAGGAUCCGGCGGAAGAGCAUGACCUGGACUAUGUUGACAAGCUUAAGUUUCUUGCUUAUCAUGUUCCGGAUACACUUCUGGAGUCCGUCCAGCUCCACCGAUGAACCCCAGGACAGGCCCUUCUCCUUCCAGGAAGUGAGCCACGUGGGGAUUCCGGAUCGAAACUCGGGGGCCGCCACCCAGUUGGUGUCGCACGGCUUGGUGAUGUAGAACCACCCCGAUUGCCACCCCUUUAUGGUCUCCACAAAGGAGCCCUCGAGCCAUAUAGCGUUGGGAAUUUUGCCCACCAUGGCUGCGCCACAUUCUGCUUGUUGGCCGCCCACCACCUUCGGCUUGAUAUUGAAGGUCUUCAGUCACAGGCCGAAGUGGGGCCGGAUGCGAAGGAAAGCCUCGCACACGACGAUGAACGCCGAGAUGUUGAGGAUGAAAUUUGGGGCCAAAUCAUGAAAGUCCAGCCCAUAAUAGAACAUGAGGCCGCGGACGAAUGGAUGGAGGGGAAACCCCAGUCUGCGGACGAAGUGGGGGAGGAAAACCACCCUUUCGUGAGGUUCCGGGGUAGGGACGACCUGCCCCGCAGCUGGCAGCCGGUGCGCGAUAUCCGCGGCUAAGUAUCCGGCUCCACGUAGAUUUUUGAUGUGUCCCUCCAUGACAGAGGAGGCCAUCCACUUUCCUCCCGCUCCGGACAUGUUUGUAGAGAGUUGAGGAGAAGGAUGUGGACUUGGGCGUUGGAGCUCGAGUGCACGAGAAUGGAUGAGCAAGGAGGAAGAAGGCGUGGGUAGAAAAAGGUGAGACCUUAUCCCUUUAUAAGGGCAGACAAAACUAUGCACCCCCACUAGCCUGGUAAAACUAGCUUAUCCCCCAAGCGCCAUAAUUGGUGGCGCGGUUGGGUUACCCACGCCCGUAUUGAUGGGAAUCCCGUAAUAAGGGGACACGAUCUCUGCUUCGACAAGACGUGCCAAGGAAACCGCCUCGCGAAACACGCUGAGAUAGGUUAUGAAAAAUGAUUCGAAUAAAGACCUGGCUGUGGUGUGAUAUCACGCUACGGGGUACGUCAGCAGAUUAGAUUUGUGGAAAUAUUAUUCUCUCUACGGUGGUAUGUGGAACUUGUUUUGCAGAGCCGGACACGAUCCUCGUGUUCAAAAUCUUCUAUGAAGUAUUCAGAGGAGGAACCCGCCUUGCAAUGCCGAAGACAAUCUGUGCGCCAGACUCAUCGUCAUUGAAGCCUGGUUUAGGGGAUACUGAGGGAGUCCUGGAUUAGGGGGUAUCCGGACAGCCAGACUAUAUCCUUUGGCCGGACUGUUGUACUAUGAAGAUACAAGAUUGAAGACUUCGUCCCGUGUUCGUAUAGGACUCUCCUUGGCGUGGAAGGCAAGCUUGGCAAUACGGAUAUAUAGAUCUCCUUCCUUGUAACCGACUCUGUGUAACCCUAGCCCCCUCCGGUGUCUAUAUAAACCGGAGGGUUUUAGUCCGUAGGACAACAGACAAUCAUACCAUAGGCUAGCUUCUAGGGUUUAGCCUCUCCGAUCUCGUGGUAGAUCAACUCUUGUACUACUCAUAUUAUCAAGAUUAAUCAAGCAGGACGUAGGGUUUUACCUCCAUCAAGAGGGCCCAAACCUGGGUAAAACAUCGUGUCCCCUGCCUCCUGUUACCAUCCGCCUUAGACGCAUAGUUCGGGACCCCCUACCUGAGAUCCGCCGGUUUUGACACCGACAAACAUCUUUUUGCAAGAGAUUAGUGAGAGGCUUAGAAAUUUUAGAGAAGUAUUUAAUAAACCUCCUAUAGAAACCAGCAUGACCAAGGAAACUUCUUAUACCUUUGAUAUCUUUAGGACACAACAUCUUUUCAGUAGCAUCCACUUUAGCUUUAUGAACUUCAAUACCUCUUUCAGAAAUUUUAUGCCCCAAGACAAUACCUUCAUUAACCAUAAAGUGGCACUUCUCCCAAUUCAAUACAAGAUUAGUUUCUUCACAUCUCUGCAAAACUCGGUCAAGGUUGCUUAAGCAAUCAUCAAAAGAAGAUCCGUAAACGGAGAAAUCAUCCAUGGAAACCUCAACAAUCUUUUCACAAAAAAUCAAAGAAUAUAGCAGUCAUGCAUCUUUGAAAGGUAGCAGGUGCAUUGCAUAAACCAAAAGGCGUACGUCUAUAAGCAAAGGUACCGAAAGGGCAAGUAAAAGUGGUUUUCUCUUGAUCCUAUUUUGACACAGGUAUUUGAGAGAAACUAGAAUAACCAUCUAGAAAGCAAAAAUGUGUAUGUUUGGAUAAUCUUUCUAGCAUUUGAUCAAUAAAAGAUAGAGGGUAAUGAUCUUUUCUAGUAGCUUUAUUUAAUUUGCGAAAAUCAGUUACCAUUAUGAAGGAAAUAUGCCCUAGAGGCAAUACUAAAGUUGUUAUUUAUAUUUCCUUAUAUCAUGAUAAAUGUUUAUUAUUCAUGCUAGAAUUGUAUUAACCGGAAACUUGAUACAUGUUUGGAUACAUACACAAAACAAAGUGUCCCUAGUAGCCUCUACUUGACUAGCUCGUUAAUCAAAGAUGGUUAACUUUCCUGACUAUAGACAUGUGUUGUCAUUUGAUGAACGGGUUCACAUCAUUAGAGAAUGAUGUGAUGGACAAGACCCAUCUGUUAGCUUAGCAUUAUGAUCAUUUAGUUUUAUUGCUAUUGCUUUCUUCAUGACUUAUACAUAUUACUCUGACUAUGAGAUUAUGCAACUCCCGAAUACCGGAGGAACACCUUGUGUGCUAUCAAACGUCACAACACAAUUGGGUGAUUAUAAAGAUGCUCUACACUUGUCUCCAAUGGUGUUUGUUGAGUUGGCAUAGAUCGAUAUUAGAUUUGUCACUCUGUGUAUCGGAGAGGUAUCUCUAGGCCCUCUCGGUAAUGCACAUCACUAUAAGCCUUGCAAGCAAUGUGACUAAUGAGUUAGUUACGGGAUGAUGCAUUACGAAACGAGUAAAGAGACUUUCCGGUAAUGAGAUUGAACUAGGUAUGAUGAUACCGACGAUCGAAUCUCGGGCAAGUAACAUACCGAUGAAAAAGGGAACAACGUAUGUUGUUAUGCGGUUUGACCGAUAAAGAUCUUCGUAGAAUAUGUAGGAACCAAUAUGAGCAUCCAGGUUACGCUAUUGGUUAUUGACCGGAGAUGUGUCUCGGUCAUGUCUACAUUGUUCUCGAACCCAUAGGGUCAGCACACUUAACGUUCGAUGACGUUUUAUAUUAUGAGUUAUGUUAUUUGAUGACCGAAGCUUGUUCGGAGUCCCUGAUGAGAUCACGGACAUGACGAGGAGUCUCGAAAUGGUCGAGAGGUAAAGAUACAUAUAUUAGAAGGUUACAUUUGGACACCAGAAUGGUUCGGGUGGUUUCACAUGAGUUUCGGAGUACCGGGGGUUACUGGAACCCCCCAGAAGUUCAUGGGCCUUCAUGGGACUUAGUGGAAAGGAGAGGAGGGCCACAAGGGAGGCUGCCCCCCAUGGCCAGUCUGAAUUGGACUAGGGAGGGGGCGGCGCCCCCUCUUUCCUUCUCCCUUCUUCCUCCUUCCCUCUCUCUCCCUCUCUUGGAAAGGAAGGGGACCCCAACUAGGAUUGGGAAUGCUAGUUGGACUCCCCUAUGGUGCGUGCCCCCUUAUGGCUGACCUCCUCUCCUCCCCCCUUUAUAUACGUGGGAGGGGGGGUACCCCAAAGGCAGACCAAGUCUUCUCUUAGCCGUCUGCGGUGCCCGCCUCCACAGUUACACACCUCGGUCAUAGCGUCAUAGUGCUUAGGCGAAGCCCUGCGCCAGCAACAUCAUCAUCAUCGUCGCCAUGCCGUCGUGCUGACGGAACUCUCCCUCGUCCUCAACUAGAUCAAGAGCUCGAGGGACGUCGUCGUGCUGAACGUGUGCUGAACACGGCGUUCGAUACUUGGAUCAGUUGGAUCGUGAAGUCCUUCAACUACAUCAAUUGCGUUACUAAACGCUUCCGGUUUCAGUCUACGUGGUACAUGGACACACUCUCCCUGCUCGUUGCUAUGCAUCUCCUAGAUAGAUGUUGCAUGAUCGUAUGAAUUUUUUUGAAAUACUGUGUUCCCUAACAGUGGCAUCAGAGCCAGGUCUAUGCGUAGAUGUUAUAUGCACGAGUAGAACACAAUGAGUUGUGGGCGAUAAUAGUCAUACUGCUUACCAACAACGUCUUACUUUGAUUCAACGGUAUUGUUGGAUGAAGCGGCCCAGACCGACAUUACAUGACCGUGUUCAUUUGACUGGUUCUACCGACGUGCUUUGCACACAGGUGGCUGGCGGGUGUCUGUUUCUCCAACUUUAGUUGAAUCGAGAUUGACUACACCCGAUCCUUGUUGAAGGUUAAAACAACACACUUGAUGAAAAAUCGUUGUGGUUUUGAUGCGUAGGUAAGAAUGGUUCUUGCUAGAAGCCCGUAGCAGCCACGUAAAACUUGCAACAACAAAGUAGAGGCCGUCUAACUUAUUUUUGCAGGGCAUGUUGUGAUGUGAUAUGGUCAAGACGUGAUGAGAUAUAAAUUGUUGUAUGAGAUGAUCAUGUUUUGUAAAAGUUAUCGGCAACUGACAAGAGCCUUAUGGUUGUCGCUUUAUUGUAUGAAAUGCAAUCGCCAUGUAAUUGCUUUACUUUAUCACUAAGUGGUAGCGAUAGUCGUAGAAGCAAUAGUUAGCGAGACGACAACGAUGCUACAAUGGAGAUCAAGGUGUCAAGCCGGUGACGAUGGUGAUUAUGACAGUGCUUUGGAGAUGGAUAUCAAAGGCACAAGAUGACGAUGGCCAUAUCAUAUCACUUAUUUUGAUUGCAUUGUGAUGUUUAUCCUUUAUGCAUCUUGUUUUGCUUAGUACGGCGGUAGCAUUAUAAGAUGAUCUCUCACUAAAUUUCAAGGUACAAGUGUUCUCCCUUGAGUAUGCACCAUUGCUACAGUUCGUCGUGCCAAGACACCAUGUGAUGAUCGGGUGUGAUAAGCUCUACAUUCACAUACAAUGGGUGCAAGCUAGUUCCGCACGUGCAGAAUACUCGGGUUAAACUUGAUGAGCCUAGCAUAUGCAGAUAUGGCCUUGGAACACUGAGACCGAAACGUCGAACUUGAAUCAUAUAGUAGAUAUGAUCAACAUAGUGAUGUUCACCAUUGAAAACUACUCCAUCUCAUGUGAUGAUCGGACAUGGUUUAGUUGAUAUGGAUCACGUGAUCAUUUAGAUGACUAGAGGGAUGUCUAUCUAAGUGGGUGUUCUUAAGUAAUAUGAUUAAAUUGAACUUUAAUUUAUCAUAAACUUAGUACCUGAUAGUAUUUUGCAUGUCUAUGUUGUUAUAGAUCAAUGGCCCGUGCUACCGUUCCCUUGAAUUUUAAUGCGUUCCUAGAGAAAGCUAAGUAGAAAGAUGAUGGUAGCAACUACACAGACUGGGUCCGUAACUUGAGGAUUAUCCUCAUUUCUGCAUAGAAGAAUUACGUCCUGGAAGCACCGCUAGGUGCAAAACCCGCUGCAGGAGCAACUCCAAAUGUUAUGAAUGUCUGGCAGAGCAAAUCUGAUGACUAAUCAAUAGUUUAGUGUGCCAUGUUGUAUGGCUUAGAAUCGGGACUUCAACAACGUUUUGAACGUCAUGGAGCAUAUGAGAUGUUCCAGGAGUUGAAGUUAAUAUUUCAAGCAAAUGCCUGAAUUGAGAGAUAUGAAGUCUCCAAUAAGUUCUAUAGCUGCAAGAUGGAGGAGAAUAGUUUUGUCAGUGAACAUAUACUCAGAAUGUCUGGGUACCACAACCACUUGACUCAACUAGGAGUUAAUCUUCCUGAUGAUAGUGUCAUUGACAGAGUUCUUCAAUCACUACCACCAAUCUACAAAAGCUUCAUGAUGAACUACAAUAUGCAAGGGAUGGAUAAGACAAUUCCUGAGCUCUUCGCAAUGCUAAAGGCUGUGGAGGUAGAAAUCAGGAAGGAGCAUCAAGUGUUGAUGGUUAACAAGACCACCAGUUUCAAGAAAAAAGGCAAAGGGAAGAACAAAAACUUCGAGAAGAACGGCAAGCAAGUUGCUGCUCAAGUGAGAAGCCCAAGUCUGGACCUAAGCCUGAGACUGAGUGCUUCUACUGCAGAGGGACUGGUCACUAGAAGCGGAACUGCCCCAAGUAUUUGGCGGAUAAGAAGGAUGAAAGGUAUAUUUGAUAUACAUGUUAUUGAUGUGUACCUUACUAAUGCUCGUAGUACCGCCUGUGUAUUUGAUACUGGUUUUGUUGCACAUAUUUGUAACUCAAAACAGGGGCUACGGAUUAAACGAAGAUUGGCUAAGGACGAGGUGGCGAUGCGCGUGGGAAAUGGUUCCAAAGUUGAUGUGAUCGUCGUCGGCAUGCUACCUCUACAUCAACCGUCGGGAUUAGUUUUAGACCUACAUAAUUGCUAUUUUGUGCCAGCGUUGAGCAUGAACAUUAUAUCUGGAUCUUGUUUGAUGCGAGAUGGUUAUUCAUUUAAAUCAGAGAAUAAUGGUUGUUCUAUUUAUAUGAGUAAUAUCUUUUAUGGUCAUGCACCCUUGAUGAGUGGUCUAUUUUUGUUGAAUCUCGAUAGUACUAAUACACACAUUCAUAAUAUUGAAGCCAAAAGAUAUAAGUUUAAUAAUGAUAGUGCAACUUAUUUGUGGCACUGCCAUUUAGGUCAUAUUGGUGUAAAGCGCAUGAAGAAACUCCAUGCUGAUGGGCUUUUGGAAUCACUUGAUUAUGAAUCACUUGAUGCUUGCGAACCAUGCCUCAUGGGAAAGAUGUCAAAAACUCCGUUCUCCGGAACAAUGGAGCGAGCAACUGACUUAUUGGAAAUAAUACAUACUGAUGUAUGCAGUCCGAUGAGUGUUGCGGCUCGCGGCGGGUAUCAUUAUUUUCUAACCUUCGCAGAUAAUUUCAGCAGAUAUGGGUAUAUCUACUGGAUGAAACAUAAGUCUGAAACAUUUGAAAAGUUCAAAGAAUUUCAGAGUGAAGUAGAAAAUCAUCGUAACAAGAAAAUAAAGUUUCUACGAUCUGAUCAUGGAGGUGAAUAUUUGAGUUAUGAGUUUGUUCUUCAUUUGAAACAAUAUGGAAUAGUUUCGCAACUCACGCCACCUAGAACACCACAGCAUAAUGGUGUGUUCGAACAUCGUGACCACACUUUAUUAGAUAUGGUGUGAUCUAUGAUGUUUCUUACUGUUUAUCGCUAUUAUUUUGGGGUUAUGCUUUAGAUACGGUUGCUUUCACAUUAAAUAGGGCACCAUCUAAAUCCGUUGAGACGACACCAUAUGAACUGUGGUUUGGCAAGAAACCAAGUUGUCGUUUCUUAAAGUUUGGGGCUGCGAUGCUUAUGUGAAAAAGCUUCAACCUGAUAAGCCCGAACCCAAAUCGGAGAAAUGUGUCUUCAUAGGAUACCCAAAGGAGACAGAUGGGUACACCUUCUAUCACAGAUCCAAAGGCAAGAUAUUUGUUGCUAAGAAUGGAUCCUUUAUAGAGAAGGAGUUUCUCUCGAAAUAAGUGAGUGGGAGGAAAGUAGAACUUGAUGAGGUAAUUGUACCUUCUCCCUUAUUGGAAAGUAGUUCAUCACAGAAAUCAGUUCCAGUGAUUCCUACACAAAUCAGUGAGGAAGCUAAUGAUGAUGAUCAUGAAACUUCUGAUAAAGUUACCACUGAACCUCGUAGGUCAACCAGAGUAAGGUCCAGACCAGAGUGGUACGGUAAUCCUAUUCUGGAGGUUAUGUUACUUGACCAUGACAAACCUAUGAACUAUGAGGAAGCGAUGAUGAGCCCAAAUUCUGCGAAAUGGCUUGAGGCCAUGAAAUCUGAGAUGGGAUCCAUGAGAACAAAGUAUGGACUUUGGUUGACUUGCCCGAUGAUCGGCAAGCCAUAGAGAAUAAAUGGAUCUUCAAGAAGAAAACUAACACUAAUGGUAAUGUUACUGUCUAUAAAGCUCGAGUUGUUCCGAAAGGUUCUUUUUAACAAGUUCAAGGAGUUCACUACGAUGAUACCUACUCACUCAUAGCGAUGCUUAAGUCAGUCCGAAUCAUGUUAGCAAUUUCCGCAUUUUAUGAUUAUGAAAUUUGGCAAAUGGAAGUCAAAACUUCAUUCCUUAAUGGAUAUCUUAAAGAAGAGUUGUAUAUGAUGCAACCAGAAGGUUUUGUCGAUCAAAAGGUGCUAACAAAGUGUGCAAGCUCCAGCAAUCCAUUUAUGGACUAGUGCAAGCAUCUCGGAGUUGGUAUAUACACUUUGAUAGUGUGAUCAAAGUAUAUGGUUUUAUAUAGACUUUUGGAGAAGCCUGUAUUUACAAGAAAGUGAGUGGGAGCUUUGUAGCAUUUCUAAUAUUAUAUGUGGAUGCCAUAUUGUUGAUUGGAAAUAAUAUAGAAUUUCUGGAUAGCAUAAAAGGAUACUUGAAUAAGAAUUUUUCAAUGAAAGACCUCGGUGAAGCUGCUUACAUAUUGGGCAUGAAGAUCUAUAGAGAUAGAUCAAGACGCUUAAUUGGACUUUCACAAAGCACAUACCUUGAUAAAGUUCUAAAGAAGUUCAAAAUGGAUCAGUCAAAGAAAGGAUUCUUGCACGUGUUACAUGGUGUGAAGUUGAGCCAGACUCAAUGCCCGACCACUGCAGAAGAUCGAGAGAAAAUGAAAGUCAUUCCCUAUGCCUCAGCCAUAGGUUCUAUCGUGUAUGCAAUGUUGUGUACCAGACCUGAUGUGUGCCUUGCUAUAAGUUUAGCGGGGAGGUAACAAAGUAAUCCAGGAGUGGAUCACUGGACAAUGGUCAAGAACAUCCUGAAAUACCUGAAAAUGACUAAGGAUAUAUUUCUCGUUUAUGGAGGUGACAAAGAGCUCGUCGUGAAUGGUUACGUCGAUGCAAACUUUGACACUGAUCCGGAUGACUCUAAGUCACAAAUCGGAUAUGUAUUUAUAUCGAAUGGUGGAGCUGUCAGUUGGUGCAAUUUCAAGCAGAGCAUCGUGGCGGGAUCUACGUGUGAAGCGGAGUACAUAGCUGCUUCGGAAGCAGCAAAUGAAGGAGUCUGGAUGAAGGAGUUCAUAUCCGAUCUAGGUGUAAUACCUAGUGCAUCGGGUCCAAUGAAAAUCUUUUGUGACAAUACUGGUGCAAUUGCCUUGGCAAAGGAAUCCAGAUUUCACAAGAGAACCAAGCACAUCAAGAGACACUUCAAUUCCAUCUGUGAUCAAGUCAAGGAGGGAGACAUAGAGAUUUGCAAGAUACAUACGGAUCUAAAUGUUGCAGACCCAUUGACUAAGCCUCUCUCAUGAGCAAAACAUGAUCAACACCAAGACUCCAUGGGUAUUCGAAUCAUUACUAUGUAAUCUAGAUUAUUGACUCUAGUGCAAGUGGGAGACUGAAGGAAAUAUGCCCUAGAGGCAAUAAUAAAGUUGUUAUUUAUAUUUCCUUAUAUCAUGAUAAAUGUUUAUUAUUCAUGCUAGAAUUGUAUUAACCGGAAACUUGAUACAUGUGUGGAUACAUAGACAAAACAAAGUGUCCCUAGUACGCCUCUACUUGACUAGCUUGUUAAUCAAAGAUGGCUAAGUUUCUUGACCAUAGACAUGUGUUGUCAUUUGAUGAACGGGAUCACAUCAUUAGGAGAAUGAUGUGAUGGACAAGACCCAUCCGUUAGCUUAGCAUAAUGAUCGUUUAGUUUUAUUUGAUAUUGCUUUCUUCAUGACUUAUACAUGUUCCUCAAACUAUGAGAUUAUGCAACUCCCGAAUACCGGACGAACAUCUUGUGUGCUAUAAAACUUCACAACGCAACUGGGUGAUUAUAAAGAUGCUCUACACUUGUCUCCAAUGGUGUUUGUUGAGUUGGCAUAGAUCAAGAUUAGGAUUUGUCACUCCGAGUAUCGGAGAGGUAUCUUUGGGCCCUCUUGGUAAUGCACAUCACUAUAAGCCUUGCAAGCAAUGUGACUAAUGAGUUAGUUAUGGGAUGAUGCAUUAUGGAACGAGUAAAGAGACUUGCCGGUAACGAGAUUGAACUAGGUAUGAUGAUACCGACAAUCGAAUCUCGGGCAAGUAACAUACCAAUGACAAAGGGAACAACGUAUGUUGUUAUGCGGUUUGACCAAUAAAGAUCUUCAUAGAAUAUGUAGGAACCAAUAUGAGCAUCCGGGUUCCGCUAUUGGUUAUUGACCGGAGAUGUGUCUCGGUCAUGUCUACAUAGUUCUCGAAGCCGUAGGGUCCGCACGCUCAACGUUCGAUGACGAUUUGUAUUAUGAGUUAUGUGAUUUGAUGACCGAAGUUUGUUCGGAGUCCUAGAUGAGAUCACGGACAUGACCAGGAGUAUCGAAAUGGUCGAGAGGUAAAGAUUCAUAUAUUGGAAGGUUACAUUUGGACACCGGAAUGGUUCGGGUUGUUUCAGAUGAGUUUCGGAGUACCGGGGGUUACCNNNNNNNNNNNNNNNNNNNNNNNNNNNNNNNNNNNNNNNNNNNNNNNNNNNNNNNNNNNNNNNNNNNNNNNNNNNNNNNNNNNNNNNNNNNNNNNNNNNNNNNNNNNNNNNNNNNNNNNNNNNNNNNNNNNNNNNNNNNNNNNNNNNNNNNNNNNNNNNNNNNNNNNNNNNNNNNNNNNNNNNNNNNNNNNNNNNNNNNNNNNNNNNNNNNNNNNNNNNNNNNNNNNNNNNNNNNNNNNNNNNNNNNNNNNNNNNNNNNNNNNNNNNNNNNNNNNNNNNNNNNNNNNNNNNNNNNNNNNNNNNNNNNNNNNNNNNNNNNNNNNNNNNNNNNNNNNNNNNNNNNNNNNNNNNNNNNCCUUCAUGGGCCUUAGUGGAAAGGAGAGGAGGGCCACAAGGGAGGCUGCGCACCCCCAUGGCCAGUCCGAAAUGGACUAGGGAGGGGGAAGCACCCCCUCUUUCCUUCUCCCUUCUUCCUCCUUCCCUCUCUCUCCCUAUCUUGGAAAGGAAGGGGACUCCAACUAGGAUUGGGAAUCCUAGUUGGACUCUCCUAUGGCGCGUGCCCUCCUAUGGACGGCCUCCUCUCCUCCCCCUUUAUAUACGUGGGAGGGGGCACCCCAAAGGCAGACCAAGUCUUCUCUUAGCCAUGCGUGGUGCCCCCUUCACAGUUACACACCUCGGUCAUAUCAUUGUAGUGCUUAGGCGAAGCCCUGUGCCGGUAACAUCUUCGUCACUGUCACCACGCCGUCGUGCUGACGGAACCUUCCCUCGCCCUCAACUGGAUCAAGAGCUCAAGGGACGUCAUCAUGCUGAACGUGUGCUGAACACGGAGGUGCCGUACGUUCGGUACUUGGAUCGUGAAGACGUUAGACUACAUCAACCGCAUUACUAAACGCUUCCGCUUUCGGUCUACGAGGGUACGUGGACACACUUUCCCUUCUCAUUGCUAUGCAUCUCCCCAACACAUUCUAUAACUUGUAACAAUUCUUUGUGGGAUCAAUUCAUUCUUAUCAUUUGGAACAACAGUAAUACCUCCCUUCUUAGGGACAGAAUGAACAUGACUUACCCAUUGACUAUCAGCAAUAGGAUAAAUUAUACCUGCCUCCAGAAGCUUUAGUAUUUCGUUUCUUACCAAUUUAAUUUUGUGCUGACAUAGAGUUGGACUAAUGCCCUUAAGAUUAUCGAGAGUAUAUCCAAUAGCGGUAUGGUGCUUCUUCCGAGUUUUCAAUAAUUUCAUUUCUUCAUGCUAUGAAAGGUUAGUACUAAUAAUUACAGGAUAUAUCUUCUUUUCAUCAAGAUAAGCAUAUUUCAGAGUAUCAGGUAGUUGUUUAAGCUCAAACACGGGAUCACCCAUAGGUGGAGGAGGAUCCCCAAGGAUUCAAAUAGGCAAAUUGUGUUUCAAAAUAGGCCCUUGAUUAAAGAAUACUCCUUGAUGCUCCUUCUUGAUUUCUACCUCUGCAACCUUUAGCAUUGCGGAGACCUCGGGAAUUGUCUUAUCAAUCCCUUGCGUAUAUAGUUCAUCAUGAAGCUCUUGUAGCUUGGAGGCAGUGAUUGAAGAACUCUGUCAAUGACACUAUCGUCAGGAAGAUUAACUCCCAGCUGAGUCAAGUGGUUGUGGUACCCAGACAUUCUGAGUAUAUGUUCACUAACAGAACUAUUCUCCUCCAUUUUGCAGCUAUAGAACUUAUUGGAGACUUCAUAUCUCUCAAUCCGUGUCAGGACCCCGAUCCAAAGUCACAUCGAUAUGGCAUGUAACACAUCAUAUCACUUUGCGGCCUCACGCACAGUAUUCCCACGGGUGCCACCUUACCUAGCGCGGGACCGUUUGCGCAUUUUGGCUCACGUAUAUGAUAGUGUCGCUAGCAUCCAUAUGAGAAAGAACCCGGGCCGACAUGACUAGUCGUAAACCCAAUGUGGCACUAACUUAGAAGGACAAGCAUACAUGACCCAACAACGAACGUGUCGGUCAUCAACGAGUGAAUCCGGGCUGUAGCAGCUGGGCUAACAGGACUCCGAAGAAUCUGGGCUGUAGCAGGCUAACAGGACUCUGGUAGACAUCAUGUGACAUUUCCCCGAAGGGACAGACACAUGAACGCAGAAGGAUACAUGCCGGCCAGCCUAAGUGUUCCGGAGCAGUAGCAAGCUACCAUGGCUCAGUGGAAGCACCAGGAGACAUUUCCCGGUAAGACACGACGGCCAGACCAUUUGGUCAUCGGGGUCAUGUCGACGAUGAGCGUAGGCGGCGGCGCGUAUGGGUGCGAGUGCCGUGGCGGCUACGACGUGCGAGAGGGAAAACGGAGGGAGGGAGAAGAUUCAGUGGCUCACGGCGGUUGCGACAGUCGUCGAAGUGGGCUCAGAGGAGGUCGGAGCUGAGCAGGGUGGCGAGGUCGAUCUCGAUGAGCUAGGGAGGAAGAAGAGGUCGGCGGCGUUGCUUCGGGGCUUCCUGCGAUGCAUGGUUCAUCGAGGAAGUCGAGGAUGUCGAGGCGGAUCCUUUGGGCACGGCGGUGAGGAGAAGCGGUGGCAGUGGCCGUGGUAGCAACAAGCGGUGGCGUCGAGCGCGCUCGGGUGCGCUGCAGGGAGGGAGCAGAGGAGGGGAGAGGAGGAGUGGAUAGGCCAUAGGGGUCAGGGUGGCGCCGAGGAGAAGCAACGCGGCGUCGAGCUGGCAAGAGAGGCAGGCAUGCGAGCUGGUGGCGUGGCGCUCUGCCUGUGCACGCGCGUCAGCCACACACCUGGCCGACUGGCGCCAGGAGGACGACGACGGUGGUGGGCUGGGCCGACCAGUGGGCCGCCAGGUAAGCCAAGUGGGUUUCCUCUCUUUUCGAAUUUUGUUUCUGUUUUUCUAUUCUUUUCUCUCUUUUGAUUUAGUAAUAAAAUACCAAACCAUUUUGUAAAAUGCUAAAAAUAUUUGCGGGCACUUUUGAAAUUAUUUCCAAUAGCCCUCAACUAGUUUCACCAUUAGUAAAACAUUUAAACUAUUUAUAGAAUUUAAAUGCCCCAAUUCAAAUACAAUAUGGAUUAAUUCAAAAAUCCAGAAUGUCCUAGAAAUAUGUGCACCAUUUUUGGAAGAGGUUUUUAGCCAAUUCAAAAAUGAUGAACUUUUUUGCAGGGCAUUUUGGGUUCAUUGAAAAUAUUUUUAUUUGAACCUAGUUGAGUUCAUUUGGUGCUAGGGUUUGAACAUCCCAAUUCAAAUUCUUUUGAAUUUAAACAUGAUGCAUGGAUGCUCACAGAUGCAACUAAUUACAAGCAAUUCUAGGGUUGUGACAACUCACCCCCACUAAACAAGAAUCUCGUCCCGAGAUUGAAGCGCGGGGUAAAAAGGAAGAGGGGACUCGAACUAUCACAAUCAUCAUGAUCCAACUGUCCUCAUCGAAGAUAUUUAUUCAUUGCAUCAUCUUGAACUUGACAUCCUUGCUUCCGAGAUCUUCACCCAACAUGAGGACAGAAGAGCGAGAUAACUCUACACAUGGAAGAUAUUGAUUCAUUGCAUCAUCUUGAACUUGACAUCCUUGCUUCCGAGAUCUUCACCCAACAUGAGGGCAGAAGACCGAGAUAAAUCUUAAUGAUCAUAGGAUCAACUCACGGAAUGAGAUGUAGAAACAUCUCUUGAGCUGAGGGACAAAACACAUAUGAGGAGUAAUGGAAAGAAGCAGGUGACGAAGGUUCAGAUUAGUAGGCAACAAUUCCAUGCUUAGAAGAUGGUGCAUGGUUGCAAAGUAGCGAGGAAUAAUUGCCAUGAUUCCAUAACGGGGCACCUUAGGGAAGGUGACUCGUAGAAUCAUUCUCUUAAGUGGCAAAGAGAAUUACUUUUGAUAUCUAGAUCAUAGAAACUCUCUAUACCAGUCUAGGGAAAAUCACAAAUGUUUGUUUGACGGAGUUCAAAAGAAUGGCAUACUCAGACUAGAAUGGAUGAUGUGGACUACCUAGUUGAAGACAACGUAGUGGAUGAUUUUUUUCCUAUCAUCGGAAAUGGAUGAGACCCAUGGUAGGACCACUUUUGAAGAUGAUCCAGAAUAAGAAUUACUAAGAAGGCAGACCAUAGUAAAAUGGCACAAAGACAGGUGCAAGCUAGGAACAAAAUGCAAAUGUUGGGAAUGUUCCAACCAUCAUAUAUGCCUGAGAUUCAGAUCUGGUUGGUAACGGGAUAUUUCAGACAUCAUUUCUAGAAAAUAAAGUUUGCAACACAAACCGACGAGAUGACGUUGCGAAAUUCUCGGGAAAUGAACUACGAUAGCAAGAUCCAAAACAUGAGCUGGUUCUGCUACAUACCUGUGAACACGAGGUCUAAGACAAGCAUGACCAUGUAGUAGUCUUACAACAAAACACUAACUUGGGAUAUUGGAAUCUUCAUCGAGGAUAUUGGAAUCUUGUGCAUGAACUAGUAUUCGCACAUCAACUCCUUUUCCUCGAACAAAUCAAUCAGUGGCUUGGUGUGCUAGGAACACAUAUGGAGUGGAGGAGGCCAACCUAUCAAACCAUAGAGCACUUUGCACAUGCAUGACUAACUUGGGAUGAUUCCAGAGGAGGCAAAACUAAACUUUCUCAGGUUCACGGUGGCAACUUGCAUCAAAUGCACAUGAAUUAGAGGAAGUCACUUCUUUCAUCCAAACAUAUGCUUCAUGAGCUAGCAUGAAGAAAUGCUUCCAAAAGUUUCCAACACUAGCUUAGUGUUCAACAUGAAUCAUGGAGGGAAUAAAGACGUUGUCGAUGGGCUCGACAACAAUUUAUCAAGAUUUCCAUAAGAUGGGGUUACAUGGUUAUGUGAACAAGAUGAUAGCAUUGGUCAGACCAAAAGAUGUAAUGAUGUAUGCUCGAGGGAUCAACCACGAGUAAGACAACAUUACGAACAUCGUUGGUACUGAUAUGAUUUGGUGAUAGUCCAUACUCAAAUCAAAGUUUUGAUAAGACAAUAGGUCCAACAACUGAUCACAGGGACCAAUCGAUGAAGAUAUCAUCUUUCUUCAACUAACACACAAACACAAGGAUAUGCCCUUGGAACGAACUAAGUUGGGCAAGCUUUUAUCUUCCAACUCUCCAAGUUGUUGUUUAGCUUAACCAACUAGCUCAGGGGUAUCCAACACAGAUUCUUGAAGGAAGGGGUGGCUACAAGAAACCAACUUGAUCACGAACUCAACAUAGUGGUCAGGUGACAACCUGGUAACACUUCUGUUGGGGAUAUUACUAUCAGUAUGACCCGACCAGGAGGGGCCGGGUCAGCUCCAAUGGCGGGUUACAUAAGAAGCCCAGUGAACAUCCAAGAUGAUAGUUUACUAAAUCUUAUAGAAGGCCCAAAGGCCUGGGGGGUGGGGGGGGGGUGGGCUUAAGGCCAAGUAUUGUAAACCGCCAUAUGUAAGGAAAGACUUGUAAAGAAAGGCAUGUAAAGGAAGUCACCGAGCCGGACACGAUUAUGAGCCGGUCGGGACUCUAUAGGCCACCAGGCUUCAACCCAUGUAUAUAAGGGGACGACCCGUUGGUGGCUUAGAAAAAGAAAGAACAAGUCGAGAACCAAGCCAGCGAGUUGAGCCUGUUGGUGAUCGAACCCCCAGCAAUACCAAUCACAACUAGACGUAGGCUUUAACCUUCAUCGUAAGGGGCGGAACUAGUAUAAAACCCUCUCGUGUCCUUUGUCCCGAUUAACCCCUUUAAGCUUCCUAGUGCGAUGGCCCUACGACUAAGUCCUUGCUCUAGGACAUCUGCCGUGACAAUUCCAUGAUAGUUGGCGCCCACCGUGGGGCCAGCGCACGGUGGAUUUGAGUUCUUGAAGGGCAACUUCGAAGGGCUCAAGGGAUAUGCUGUGGGCCGAAUGACCAAGAGUCGUCGUGGCAAGCUCUACAUCGACGACGAAGGCUGGGGCCCGGAGGUCGGCUCAAUUGAGUACGGAUACCGGGUCCCCUUCUGCGGAAUUCACGUCUUCAUAGGCCAGAUCGGCGAGUCAGAUCCUGAGCCGGACGUCCACACCAACCUCAUCGAAACAGCUCGGCGCACGAGGACUGCCCGUGUUCAAUCUGCCGUGAAGCAUGCCUUCGUAGGCUGCGUCCACGGCGGUGAAUACUCUGAAGGAUCGGUGGAGGGCGGUGAGACGACCGUCUGUUUUGAUAUUGCUUCAUCAACGGGCGAGACGGACUCUUUGUACCAACUGCAGGACGGCAUGCUCGAGGGCUGUUCCGAUGGCAGCAGUAUUCCGGACCCUCUUGAGCCGCCGAAUUGGGCCGGAGUCUUCAUGGCAGGGACACAGCCUGGGCAGAACUCUACAGCAGCGGCGGCAACAGCUACUCGGUUGGCCGCAGCCGGGUCAGGAGACCCUGUGCGCCCCCCGGCUCGGAUCUUGAUGGACCUCAUGGAUAAACUGACGACUCUGUUGACUGCCGUGGUAGAGCCGGCAGAUAAAGCCCAGCAUGACGCAGAGGUGGCACACAUACGUGAAGAGAUGGUGCAAGCUAAAGAGAAUCAUAGGAAGUUAGGAUGGCAGCUGAGCGGGCGGCUUUGGACGUUCGUGCUCAACAGCUUCAAGCGGAGACCUUCCGGCUCUCGGUGGAUCUGAACGCAUCGAACGAGGUCAUGAGGAGGAGGCAUCAGAAAACCCAAUCACGUCUGCCUCUAACGCUCGAUCCUAGGAAUCUUUUUCACACACCCGGGGCCCGGGGAGGUAAUCCGCCGGAGGCACCCCGGAUUACAACACCCGGCGCAUCGGUCCAGCCGCGCGCCAUGGAUCCAUCUCACAUAAUUACCGCUCCACCUCAUUACGUCCAAACACCGCCGGGUCACUUCUCCAACCCUUUGGAAAACCUCAUCGUACCAUCGGCUCGUCUGGCGGCUCUUCCAAUGGAAGGUGACUCACCGGCGGCAAUUGAAACACGGAGGGUAAGGGAACUUCUUCAAACAGCUCUGGCGCAGCAGGAUGCAUACUCCUACAGUCGAGACAAGAUCCAUUCAACUCCUCGCUCAAGCCGGAGCCCGAGUUACAGUAGGCAUAUCGAAUCUGUAGAUAUGUCAAGCAAUGCUCAACGCCACAACCGGCCAUACAGGCAUGAUUUGGUGCGGGCUGGAGCCCUUAACUUGGUGGAUCAGGAGAGGAUUCGUCAAGAGGCAGAACGAGCAGCAGCAGAUCAGGUGGCUCAUCAAACUUUUCCGGCUUAUCUAGCAACCUCGGUCGAGGCAGGAGUGGCCACAAGAACCGGAGGCAUUCCUUGCUUGGUGCCGGCCAUACGUAAUGAGCAUUUGCCAAAGGACUUUAAGGGGCCUUGUAAGGUGCCUAAUUACACAGCUGACUUAUAGCCUGGGGCUUGGAUUGAGAGUUAUGAGAUGGCUAUGGAGUUAUUGGAGGUCAGUUUCGGUGUCAAAACCGGCGGAUCUCGGGUAGGGGGUCCCAAACUGUGCGUCUAAGGUGGAUGGUAACAGGAGGCAGGGGACACGAUGUUUUACCCAGGUUCGGGCCCUCUUGAUGGAGGUAAAACCCUACGUCCUGCUUGAUUUAUUCUUGAUGAUAUGGGUAUUACAAGAGUUGAUCUACCACGAGAUCGGAGAGGCUAAACCCUAGAAGCUAGCCUAUGGUAUGAUUGUAUGUUGUCCUACGGACUAAAACCCUCCGGUUUAUAUAGACACCGGAGGGGGCUAGGGUUACACAAGGUCGGUUAGAAAGGAGGAGAUAUACAUAUCCGUACUGCCUAGCUUGCCUUCCACGCCAGUGUAACACCCUCGAUGCGACUAUAGCUCCCACGUGUCGAGGCACGACUUAGAGACAUAAUCGCAUUGAAGGCAUAUGUCGCAUGUUAGGCAAUCUUCACAACAUCCCAUGUAAUAUGAAUAAUAAAGGGGAGAUAACAUAGUUGGCUUACACUCGCCACGUCAAUCAAGUACAUAAAUAACAUUACAUCAUCCAAACACUCAUGGCCCGACUACGGCGCCAAAAUCAAAGAGAACCCAACAUGCGACACGGUCCCAAUCACCCCCAACUGGGCACCACUACUGAUCAUCGGGAAAGGAAACAUAGUAUCGUUGAGAGUCUUCGUCGAAUUCCCACUUGAGCUCACACGCGUCUCCUGGAGCGGAAUCAUCAGGCCCUGCAUCUGGUGUGGGUAUUUGUUCUUGAUGGUCUUCUUGUUCACUGGACGGUAGUCAACACAAAGUCGGUCCGUUCCAUCCUUCUUCUUCACAAAAAGAACACCACAACCCCACGGAGAAGAACUAGGCCGGAUGAGACCCAUUUUCUCUUGCAUAUCGAGUUGCUUCUUCAUCUCCUUCAACUCUUCAGGUCCGAGCUUGUAAGGACGUUUGCACACAGGUUCCGUGCCAGGCUCAAGAUCAAUAACGAAUUCAACUGGCCGGUGCGGAGGCAUUCCUGGAAGCUCUUCUGGAAAGACGUCUUGAUAUUCGCAAACGAUUGGAAUUUGAGAGAUGGCAUCCAAUUCACCCUUCUCAUUGAGAGAAAGCAGACGGAUGGUAUUAUCCCGAGCGGCAAAGACAAUUACAUCCUCAGACGAAUGAGUCAGUUGAAUCUGCCUGGCUGCACAAUCAAGCUGAGCCUUGUGCUUAGAAAGCCAAUCCAUCCCGAGAAUAAGAUCAAUAUCCGAGUCACCAAGAACAUUUGGAGAGGACAAGAACUUAUAGUCACCCAAAGUGAUAGUAACAUCCGGAACGCAUACUCGAGAUGUUAUUUGACGGGCUGGAGAGACGAUAGCCAAUGGCUUCGGCAACACUUGAGUAACAAAAUCAUGCUUAGAUGCAAAAGGUCUCGAGAUGAAACAAUGCGAUGCACCAGUGUCAAAAAGAACUUUAGCUGGAAUAUCAUUAACAGGAAGGUUACCCAUGAUCACAUCUGAUGAGUCCUCUGCCUGAGCUGCAUUCAUCAAAUUGACCUUGGCAUGCUUGGGGUUAUGCUUGACCACAGUUGUACUUGCCGAUCUGACAGGAGGAGGAGGAAGACGCCUCUGGUUGAAACACUUGUUGGCAUAGUGACCCUUCUGUUGGCACUUGUUGCACGUGACCUCUGAAAGCGGACGGUGAUACGGAGCACUCGAUCUUGGAGCUUGAGACGAAGUCUUGUUCUGAAAGCCAGGGUUGGGUGGGUGGGAAGAACCACUGUCACCUUUGCUCUUCUGCUGAAAUGACUGACGGAACGGAGGAGGAGGAAGCCAAAACUUCUGCUGCUUGGUCACUUGAGUAGAGGAAGAAGGAGUAACAUCUCUGACUCGCUUCUUGGAAGCAUCACACCUCAACUGAGCAGCCUCUUGCUUCAGUGCCAUGUUGUAGAACUCAUCGUACCUCAAGGGAUCAAAGAGAACAAGAGCGAGCUGAAUUUCUUCUUUGAGACCACCCCUGAACUGAUAUAUCAUGCUCUUCUCAUCAGGGACGUCCUUCUUGGCAAAGCGGGCGAGCUUCUGAAACAACUUGUUGUAGUCAUAGACAGACAAAGAGCCUUGCUUCAGAUUGCGGAAUUCCUCACGCUUGCUUUCAACCACGCUAUGAGGAAUAUGAUGAGCUCGGAAAUCUCGACGGAAAUCAUCCCAAGUGAUAACACGUCCACCCCUGGAGUCCUUGUACUGCUGGAACCAUUCUGCAGCUUGAUCUUUGAGUUGGAAGGAAGCGAACUUAACAAAGUCCUCAGGCCUGACGUUACUGCACUCGAAAUGCUUACACAGAUCCACAAGCCAAUCGUCAGCAUCGGUUGCCUCAACACAAUUGCUGAAAGUCUUUGGCCCGUUAGCAAGGAACUAGUUGAGUGUAGCAAAGUGACUCUGAUUGCUGCCUUGAUUCCCUUGACUGCCUUGAUUGCACUCUUGAAGAAUUUGCAUGAUCAGCUGUGUGUUUGCAUUGGUUGCGGCCAUCACAGCUUGCCAUGCCUCUGGAGGAGGUGGAGGUGGUGGCGGAUCAGGAUUUGGAGUCGUGCGUGUUGGAGGGGCCAUCCUGAAGAGGUUGACCACCAUUAGCACAUUGACAGAUAAAAUUGAAGCUGAAUCCAACGAAAUAAAAAUUGCAACAUAUAGUCUUCACAUCCGAACAAAAUGAACGAAUGCAUUCCUCUUGAAAUGGUCACAUAUCCAUAAAUUGAGAAGCCACAUAGAAUUAAGGUAGAGAAAUAAAUCAACAAGGUACAGAUCCAAAACGAAUAAUCGGUAAGAAAUCCCAAUCUCAAACCAAUAUCCGUGGAAGAAGAACUAGAGCUACUAGAAUUCCCACCUAUGAAACUCCCGAAUUUUUCCGGUUAUGCAAUCAGGUGUUGGGGAUACAGGGGAAGCAUAAUAUCUCACCCAAACUAGCAAUUCCUACAUCCAGCUAUAUCCAUCCUUCAACACAUAACCAAGAAACCUUCGGAAACCAUCUACCUCAACCUUCGAAAAGCAUCCAUUAUACAAGUUAUGGCGAUACUCCUGAACUCCCGCCCCAGUACUGGGUGGCGUCGAGGUUAUCUCACCAACGAACUGCAUAAAAGAGAUUUUUGAUGUCGGCGUACUAGACUCAGGUAUUCCAGAACUGUAACGAUAAAUUAUGAUGACAACACCUCAGAGCUCAACUCCCCGGGACACUUCCACUAAACCCCUGACAGGAGGCACCAAGUCAAUGUUCUCAUCAUAAAACCAUCAGAACGAUUCCAAGAUACCCGCGUGAUCCUAAAUUUUCUUUAGUGAAAUUUGAGAAGAGAAGAGUCAAAACUCUACGUCAGGGUGCCUUACCAGAGCAAUGAGGAGACUGGGAAGUAAAAAGAAUUCCUAAACUCUCCGAUAUAUAAUUCCUAAAUGACUCAAAACAUUUUUCUAGACACAACUCGUCCGCUAAUAACGAUCAAGCAAUGGGGCUCCUAAGGUCGGGGAAGGCUCUGAUACCAACUUGUAACACCCUCGAUGCGACUAUAGCUCCGAUGUGUCGAGCACGACUUAGAGACAUAAUCGCAUUGAAGGCAUAUGUCGCAGGUUAGGCAAUCUUCACAACAUCCCAUGUAAUAUGAAUAAUAAUGGGGAGAUAACAUAGUUGGCUUACACUCGCCACGUCAAUCAAGUACAUAAAUAACAUUACAUCAUCCAAACACUCAUGGCCCGACUACGGCGCCAAAAUCAAAGAGAACCCAACAUGCGACACGGUCCCAAUCACCCCCAACUGGGCACCACUACUGAUCAUCGGGAAAGGAAACAUAGUAUCGUUGAGAGUCUUCGUCGAAUUCCCACUUGAGCUCACACGCGUCUCCUAGAGCGGAAUCAUCAGGCCCUGCAUCUGGUGUAAUAGUAAUCUGUGAGUCACAGGGACUCAGCAAUCUCGCACCCUCGCGAUCAAGACUAUUUAAGCUUAUAGGAAUGGCAAGGUAAAAUAUGAGUGGAGCUGCAGCAAGCAACUAGCAAGUAUGGUGGCUAACUUAUUCGCAAAAGAGAGCGAGAAGAGAAGGCAAGCAUGAGCGGGAAACUAGAGAGCAACUUGCGCAAACAUUACUCCAACACUGUGUCCACUUCCCGGACUCCGCCGAGAAGAGGCCAUCACGGUAACACACUCAGUUGAUUCAUUUUAAUUUAAUUAAGGUUCAAGUUAUCUACAACCGGACAUUAACAAAUUCCCAUCUGCCCAUAACCGCGGGCACGGCUUUCGAAAGUUCAAACCCUGCAGGGGAGUCCCAACUUAGCCCAUGACAAGCUCUCACGGUCAAUGAAGGAAUAGACCUCCUCCCAAGACAUUCCGAUCAGACUCGGUAUCUCGGUAAAUCAAGACACUUCAACAGGUUAAAACAAGACCAGCAACACCGCCCGAAUGUGCCGACAAAUCCCGAUAGGAGGUGCACAUAUCUCUUUCUCAGGGCACACUCAGAUAAGCAAUCCGUACAACUAAAACCAGCCCUCGAGUUUCCCCAAGGUGGCACUGCAAGGGGCUCUAGUUUGGACCAACACUCAGAGGAGCACUGGCCCGGGGGGGGGGGGGUUAAAAUAAGAUGACCCUUGAGUCUACAGAACCCAAGGGAAAGAAAAGGCUAGGUGGCAAAUGGUAAAACCAAGGUUGGGCAUUGCUGGAAAAGCUUUAAUCAAGGCGAACUAUCAAGGGGUUCCCAUUAUAACCCAACCGCGUAAGGAACGCAAAAUCCGGGAACAUAACACUGAUAUGACGGAAACUAGGGCGGCAAGAGUGGAACAAAACACUAGGCGAGAGGCUGAUCCUUCCACCCUUUACCAAGCAUAUAGAUGCAUUAAGAUAACAUAGCAAUAUAAUGAUAUCCCAACAAGUAAAUAAAUGUUCCAACAAGGAACGGCCUCCGAUCUUCACCUGCAACUAGCAACGCUAUAAGAGGGGCUGAGCAAAGCGGUAACAUAGCCAAUCAACGGUUUGCUAGGACAAUGGUGGGUUAGAGGUUUGACAUGGAAAAUAGGAGGCUUGCAAGCAAGUGGUAGGCAUCAUAGCAUUGGCAUAGCAAAAGAGCAAGCAAACUAGCAUAGCAAAGGUAGUAGUGAUUUCGAGGGUAUGAUCAUCUUGCCUGCACAGUUGUCAGAGUUGACUGGAUCCUCAAAAGCAAACUCAACGGGCUCCUCGUUAGCAAACUCGUCUCCUGGCUCUAACCACACAAGACAAACAUGCAACAAGGAUACAAUCAACCACGUGCAAACUCAAACAACACAAUGCAAAGAUGAUAUGCUAUGCGGGAUGCACAAUGCAAGAUAUGACAGGAAAUGCAUGAACCUGGCCUCAACUUGGAAAUCCAAGUGUGCCACUGGAAAGAUGAGAUGAAAUCGCUUGAAAACGAUAUAAAGAACGCCGGAAUCGGAGUUACGGUUUGGAAAUGGCAAGCGAUUCAAAAAUGACACCGGUCUGCGAUUUACAGCAAGUAGGCAUCUAAAUGCAAUGAAAUGAACAUGCUACAGCACCCAAACAUGUCAACACAAUACAUGGCAGGGAUGCACACAAGAUGCUUAACAAAAGUCUAGCACUGAGCUACGGCCAAUUCAUCCAUUAGGAGGUUCAAACAAGCAUGGCAAAAACGCAAAUGGCAAACAGUUCUCAGACUUAGUGAAAUUAACACUUGUCUGGAAUUUCAGAUCAUAUAGCCCUCUUCGGAGCAACAAAACAUCAUGCUACAGGACCUUAACAUGACAAAGAAAGACAUUUCAUGGAGCUACUCAACAAGCUUAACAAAAGUCCCUUAGUGACCUUGAGCCAAAAGGGAUCACAAAAUAUACUAACAAGCACACGAACAUAGCAAAAACAUAACCAAUUUUCAGACUUAGUGAAAACUGGGACAUGCUAAAACAUAACUCAUGAAGGCAUGUUUACGAGCUUGAUGCACUCACUACGGUGCAAGUCAUGGCAAGGCAAGCAUACACCCAUCAAGAAGGCACAAAAUGCAAUCUAGACAUGGCAAGAACAAUGGCAUAGCAUGCACGGAACAACUACAAUAACAUCGGCAAAAUCGCAAACAAGUAGAGCUCGAUUGACUCAAGCUAGGGUGCCCCAUAAUUGCAAACAAAGUCAUGGAUGGAUAGAGCACUACAAGAUUAACAAAACUCCCUUACUGAUCAUCCUCAAAAGAGGCACGGAUCACUAGGAAACAACAUGAACAUAUGGCAUCGUGAGAUAAAUAAUCCCAGGACUUGGUGAAAUUACUAAGUCCCUGAAAAACAGAAUUAGCAAGUGCACCACUUUGCAAGCUUGCACAAGUCACCACACACAUCCUAAAAAAUACAUGGGUUGCACCUCUGGAGAGAUGACAAAACCCUUAACAAAACAUAUCUAGAACUCACGGGCAUAGCAUGCACACAAUAAUCAUGGCAAAAAUGACAAAAGUGCUAAACGGAGUAACAGAUCUGACAAUUAUCUCAAGUAGCCCUCUUCUAACAGCAUUUCGGGAAUCAAGAUGAGCUCAAAUGAAAAUGAUGCAAUGGAAUGAAAUGAUGUACUCUCUGAGAUGAACAUUUUGAUAUGCUAUAUGCCCAAAUCGGAGCUAUGGAUGCAAAGUUACGGAGCCUCGAACAGGGGCAUAUGGAUCAAGAAUUUCAGGACUUAGCAAAAAAAAAAA
Molecule: long non-coding RNA, 53651 nt
Filed under: Triticum aestivum (bread wheat)
Lineage: Eukaryota; Viridiplantae; Streptophyta; Magnoliopsida; Poales; Poaceae
Description: long non-coding RNA (TAES_LNC025380)
Source: RNAcentral